AAAUGUGGACCCUGGUGUUCUUUUUGGAUCCAAAGAGUUCAUAACCAAGCGGAUUUACGACACCGUGCAGAAGGCUGGUAGUGAAGGACAUGUGUUGAACCUUGGUCAUGGCAUUAAGGUGGGGACUCCCGAGGAAAAUGUUGCCCAUUUCUUUGAGGUCGCAAAGGGGAUCAGAUACUGAAAGACCUUGGUUGUUGAAUUUGUUCCUUUCUCCCAGCCGGCAGAAAUUGUAGAUUCCACUGCUUGAGGAUAGAUGCAGGAAGCCACAUGUCUAGCAUAGGAUACCUGACGAACACAUCCUUUUGUGAUUGCUUAUGUGUUCUGCAUUUCGGUUUCCAUUUCAUUGUAAUACUGUAAGCACAUACUAAUUGGGGGUGUAAGAAAGUGUCUACUUGUUUAUAUCAUGUAUACUACUUGAAUCUUAUCCACCUAGUCGAGAAUAUCGAUUUAUAUUUGUAUGAAAAUAAUACUGUGGUCAAAAUAUGUAAGCUGUAAGUUGGAUUUAUUUUUCUGAUACCGUUCUUAAGCCUAACUUUGUGUUGAGCUCACUAAAUACCUGAUUAUGGUUUAUACUCCCUCUGGUCCUUUUUAUCUAUACCAAUCUAAAAAGACUCAGUGAGGAAGAUCCAACACACCUCGACCAUCCAUUAGUAUUAAUCCGACGGUCCUUAUUGUCUUAAUGGUGAGCAACUAAACAUGUUUAGUGCUAAACGUGUUUAUUGCUAAUCAACCCUUUCUCUCCCUGAUCACCUUCCUUACGUACCCUUUCACACGAAAGGAAACUGUCACAACAAAGCGCCGUGCGAUCCCCCUCCUUACGUACCCUUUCACACGAAAGGAAACUGGCACAGCGAACCUUCGUGUGAUCCCCUUCCUUACGUACCCUUUCACAUGAAAGGAAACUGCCACAGCGAACAGCCCACAACGCCGCCCCGUCGUCUCGCUUCAGCGACACACGCCGCCCCAUCGCCUCGACCCGCAACACCUUCAAGGACACUGCCCCUCACAUCUCCGUGCCGCCUCUACCCAUCGCCUUUGUGUGGCCUCGGCCGUAGCGACGCCAUCGCAACUUCAAGGACGCCGGUUGUCGGGGACGCCGCCUGGCCGACUGGCGGGGGCGCGUCGGAGGCACCACCUGGACCGCUCAUCGCCGUCGGACCUGUCAGGGACGACGCAUGGUCGUCCGUUGGCGUCGGGUCGUUGGACCAUCAUGGACACUGCCUGGACUUCCUGCCCGUCCCUCUCCAUCGGGCCCAGGUCGUCAACGCCGCCAUCAGGGGACACGCCGCUGUCAAACACGCAGCCGCCUGGCCAGAGGUCUUUCAUCUCUGCUUUCUUCAUUUAUUCCGGAGAAGAUUGAUUCAUGUUUCACUGAGCAGAAAAGCAGCAUGUAUGCACUAAAAACUGAACCCAAAUCAGGCCUCGUAAAACUGAACCAAAAGCAGCCUUGUGUGCACACAUUCAACAGUUAUUAAGCUUCAUUACCAACAUGCGCAGAUUAAGAGUAGGUAUAUCUUCAAGCCGGAUUAAGAUUACACCUGCGUUGUGCAUUUACGAGUUUCGCAUAUAAAAUUUGUCUAAAGCCAAGCCUAGUAAAGUUUGACCAAUUUUAUAGAAAAAAUAACCAACAUUCACAAUAUGAAAUCAAUAUCAGUAGAUGUGUCUUGACUUAAAUUUUCAUAUUGUAUAACUUUAGCAUGGUAGAUGUUGAUAUUUUUUCAUAUAAAUAUGGUCAAAAUUUAUGAAAUUUGACUUCGGACAAUUCUUAUAUACAGAGUAAAAAGGACCGGAGGGAGUAUAUCUGUUGGUGGUGAAGUUUAUUCAGAAAUUUUUACCACACUUCACCCACAGUUUGUUUACCAAGGAGAGGAAUCCCUAGUUGUUAGUUGUAUGAUGAUUUUGCUUUAAAAUCUUAAGUUUUGAGCUGUAGGCAUUUGUUUUUACCUGAACUGUAUGCAGCUUUUGAUGACUAGCCAUCUAUUCAGUGUUUCCAAGUAAGAAUACACUACAGCCAAGCUGGUUUAUUAGUAAGAAAAACGAUUGUAAUAGCCUGAUAUUUAUUAUCGCUGUUGAUGUUUUUGUUGGUAGUUUCUGGCUAAGCAAACUCGUGUGAUUCACUUAUUUUGAUCUUAUCUGAUACUCAACCAAAGGACUGCAAUUCUGAUACUCAGGUAGUGGUUGAUGCAAGCUAAAGCUACUCUCUGAGUUCACAAAUAUAAUAUGUUUCAACUUUUUUAUGAAUCGAAUGUACAUAGGUACGUUUUAGUGUGUUUGUUCACUAAUUUCGGUAAAUAUGUAGUUCAUCUUAAAAUAUCCAAAACAACUUAUAUUUGGGAACGGAGGGAAUAUUUCAUAUAUUAUGGUUGGUGCCAAACAACGAAAGGCAAAGGAUUAUGCCUGUCGGGGAUAUACCUUGCGGUAUGACCCGGCCAGAGUUCUAAACCGGCUGGGACUUGAUAAACCGGCAGGAGUUAAGUCAGACCAUGUUAAACCGGUGGCCAGUUAAAACAGACAGUUAAGACAGAUGGCUAUGACAGACGGUAAACCGGCAGGAGUUAAGUUAGACCAUGUUAAACCGGCGGACAAUGUUAAACCGGCAGACAAUGUUAAACCGGCAGACAAUAUUAAACCGGCAGACAAUGUUAAACCGGCAAACAGUGAUAACUGGGUUGCCAGGGGUUAUGAAGCCCAAGACGUUAUGAAGCCCAAGAUGUUAAGAAGCCCAUGAAGAUAAGCUAGAAUAGUUAAGUCUUAAGUCCGAGUUGGACUCUACAUGUAAUCCGCCUCUUCAACAUAUAUAAGGAGGGGUAGGGCUCCCCGAAGAGGGACAAGCAAGAAGAAACAAUCUUAGGGCUAGACACAAAGAGGAGAGACGGUUUACGGUGACUCCUUCGUGAUGAUAAUGAGACCUAGCCUCGAACAGCAUGUAGGGUUAUUACCGGAUGAUGUUUCUCGGGGCCCGAAGCUAUCCAAAUUCAUGUCUUGUGUUGCGUCUUUCGAUUCCGCUCAACCCCUCUCAAGCUAUCACAUAUAUGCGUUGACCUCACGACUAAGUCCUCACUCUAGGACAUCUGCCGUGACAAUUCCACGACAGUUGGCGCCCACUGUAGGGCCAGCGUACAGUGGUGUUAAGUUCUUGGAGGGAUCUUUCCUAGGAUUUCGAGAAGUUCGUAAUUUUCAGAUGAAAAGAGCCGGAUUACAUGUAUGUGCACCGUCAAACGCAGCCGGGUGAUCUGUUGUGGCCGAAUCACUUUCCGUUGCAUCGUUACGUGCACCGUCAAACGCAGUCGGGUGAUCUGUUGUGGCUGAAUCACUUUCCGUUGCAUCGUUACGAGAAGCGAAGUGCAAAGGGGAUUUCAUCAGUAUGUAUCAAAAUCAUCAAAUUACUGUUGUUUCUGUCUAAUUCGCUGAGUCGCCGCCACCGCGUACAGGAGUUACCGAGGCUAUUACCUGAAGCCGGAUCGAUUUUGCUUUUUGUCAAAUCUGGUUGCUAUAGGCAUACGAGGAAUCUACCAGGAAGUUAACUUAAGAGUUAAACAAAGGAAAGGAAAAAGGUGCUACGCAGGGUUAGCACGUGAAGACAAGGGAAGAAGUGACCCGCCGUGCCUAUCCCGCUGCUAAACCGCCCGCGCCGUAAAUCGGCGCCCAAUAUCUCUGCGUGUUCUCCUGAAUCGCCGUUUCUGCUGUGAGGAUCAGAAGAAAAUUUCGUGGACACCGGCUGCAAAGCUCAUCCUGUAUGUACCCCUGUCUAGAUUCGUCCACGUGUCCUCUCCUUAUAUUCGACCGCCGCAGUUCAUUCCGAUCCGUUCGCUCCUUCCGUCGGCUCGGGAGCGCUCGCUCGGCUCCAAAUACGUGCGAUCCCGGCUCCCUCACGAGGCAAGGCCGGCUGAGGCGGAGGCCCACAUAGUCAGCCCUUUUGUCUCCCAGUCGCCCGGUUCCAAGCCUCCGCGUCUUUCGUCCGCCGCCGUCGCCGCCGCCGCUGAUGGAAGGCACGGUGUGCCCAAACCAAGGUGAUUCCGUCUCCGGCGCCGGCCUCUCACUCCCCCACGCGCACCUCCAUCUCGCCCAGUUCAGAACUGGUGACCCCCUCCCUUGCAAGUCUAAAAGUUUGUGUUUCCUUUUGGCUGUUAGCAUGCAAUUAGCUCCUUCAGGUAAGAGGUUUGAUUUGCUAAUCGUACACGACCACAUGUUAAUCACAUAUUUUGAUUAAACUGGGACGAACGAAGUGCAACCUAGCAAGCUCGUACUUGAUCGGAUUGUUUGAUUCGCUCAGUCGAGCUACAAAAUCAAUUGCAUCACUAGUUUCAGAGUAAGAAAGUGUAGUUUCAGACCGAAGGGUGUUUAUCUUACAGGAGGAUGAACUGCACAUUAUUUUGCUAUACGUCUGACAACUAUCUGACCAAACUCACAUGCUAAUAAUUCAAUGCGAUUGGUGCAUGUCUUUGCAGUCGUGAAAGAGAAGUUUUCAAAUUGGCAAGGAUUCCUCCUGGUCCAACUAGCUAAGAUGGUAGAAAAGGGAACAAAGAGCAAACAGGAGGUCACCUACUCAUGCAGCAGUCAUGCUUCGCCAUCAUUCUACUGGACGAAGACCCCGAAGUACACCGCUGGAACAAGACAACUGACGCCAUGGAAACAACAUCAAUAAUUCCUGAUGAGUAGACUUCGUGACAAAUCGUGUACUAGUAUAUAGCUGAUUGCUCUCUCUGACAAUUUCCAACUAUAAUGUACAAUUGUACAUUGUAUCUUUUUUCAUCUAAGAUAUAUAUGAAUGAGGUGCUCGACCUCGAAGAUUUAAAUCAGAGGUCUGGAAAUCUGAAACUAUCGCAGGUGCUCGGCCUUGAAGAUUUAACACUUAACACAUUCUGUCGCAUAAUCAAUGCAAUCUCACAGAAAUCCAGAAAUGAUGAAAAACCAUACUCAGCGUAGUACAAAAUUAUACCCAAACAUUCUAAAUGAAGACAAAAUUCAGUCUACUACAGUGCAUCAAUUAUAAUUCAUAGAUACACCAAAUGACAUCAAAAAAAUUGUACUCCUUAUAGGCUGCCCGUAAUACUAAUCAUCAAAAGGUAACUUUCUAACAGCCGAGGACAAUGUGGCAUCCUGCUCAACCCCAAGUAAAAGACUUGUAAAUCCGCCUUGGAUAGAUGGAGCAGACAUGGUUGAAGGUUGCCCAUACACAUCAUUUGCAAAGGUUAGCAUUGUGGCAUUAGCGUAUCUGCCUUGGAUCAACGGUGCAGCCAUGAUCAAAGAUCGCCCUCGCCCAUAGACAUCAUUUGAAAAUUUUGGCAUGGUAUUAGUAAUGUCAAUACUACCAGCAUUCACAUCCUGUAUCAUAGAAUAUGAAAUUGUUCAUAAAACAUGCAAGUCAAAUAUGAAAAGGGGAUACUGACUCUGAGUCAAAUGGUUUACCAUCAUUUCCUUCGGAUCAAUGCCGCCAUCCCUAUUCUGUACUACAUUUUUUCGAUUUUCUCCUAAAGUCAGACAUAUGAAUUGAAAGAAAAGUAAAAGGAUUAACAAUAGAAGUAUAGAAUGGAAAAGGCUUGCUAGAAUGGGUAGGAUCGACACCUUUCUUUUUAGCACUUUUAUUUUUCUUCCCUUUCUUUUUUCAAGGGAGAUGGUUGCCCGUUUACGCUUUGCGCCUUUCACCACCUGAGGAACUCUGAAUGAUAUUGUACCAUUUAUUGUGUUUGUAGCACACUCAGCCGAAACUAGCGGAACCUCGCUCGAUUUUUCCUCCAUCUUGCUAAGAGUGUUAUCUGCUUCCAAGUCUAACUUAUCUAUAGCUUUCUCGAAAUCAUCAAGAAGUUGUUUUGACCGAGUACACUUCAAUGCAACUGAUGUAGCCUUCCUUGAGAUACGUGCAGCUUGUGUUUUCAAGCUUUCCUCCUCGGAUCCUUGUUUUUCAACAUAAAAUCCUCUUUUCGCAUAUUUUGUCCAUCUUCCUAGUAUAUAUUGUGGUGGCAAAAUGAAAAAAAAUCAUUCAUAUUGAAGACUUUGAAUGCAUGCUUGCACAAUAUACCUGCAAGAUAUGGACGUCAUAUUUCAUCAAGUUGUAUUACAGAGCAAAUUGCAUCAUAAAUUCUGUAUAUAUACCUAUGGAUUCGAACUUUUUGCAACAACAUGUAAUAGUUGUGUCCGUGGUAUUGAAUGUAACUUUUGCUCCAUGCUCACUGUUCAUAUGUGUGACCAUAUAUGUCAACACCGGACCGUCGGUUUGUAAUAGUUUACAAGAGAAUGAAAAUUGGCUUUUGAAUUAUGUUUCAAAUUCUGAAUACAUUCGCCUUGUAUAUGAUUCAGAUGCGGUCUUUAGCAAAGGAAAAUUUGGACUAUAAGCAACAGGUUUCUUUCGACGCGAACUAAAAUCUGCAUCCAACUCAUUUUCACGAAGACUUCCAGAAACCUUCUCACAUUCUACAAGGAGUUCUGAAAGACCAAGUCUCCUAUGAAAUCUUUGCUUGAAUACAUUAUUCAUACCUUCACUCCUUUGAGUCGAGUUCAUAUCAGCUGUAAAAGAGUCACGAUAGACAGCAGCCCACUUUUCCCUCAACUCAUACAUCUUUUUCAUCCAUUCAUUGUCCUCAAGGUUGUAUCGAUCCAACAAUUCAAACCAUUUUUUAUUGAAGUAAAAUUCUGACCUAUCUUCAUAGACACAUUUCUUAAAAUCAGGUAAAAACUUCUCAGGAUGCUCAUGAAUUACAUGCCCAUGAUGUUUUGCAGCACUAAGAUAAAUGUGCCACAAACAAAGCCGAUGACUUGUAUUUGGGAACACAUAUGCAAUUGCUCCGUCCAUGGCCUUGUCCUGAUCAGUGAAAAUAGUGUUCGGAUGCUUGCCUGACAUCGCUAUUAAAAAUGUUUCAAAGAGCCAAACAAAUGAAUCGAUACUCUCAUUAAAUAUCAGCGCGGCACCAAAAAUUACUGUCUGCUUGUGAUGGUUGGUACCAACGAAUGGAGCAAAAGGCAUUUCAAACUUGUUAGUCUGAAAAGUGGUAUCAAAUGAUACAGCAUCCCCAAAACAUGUGUAAUCCAUGAUAGACUGACCAUCUGCCCAAAAGAAAUUAGCUAUCUGGCCAUCAACUUGAUCUAUCUGAAUGGCAUAAAAAAUGUAGGAUCCUCUCUUUGCUUAUUUUUCAAGUAUUCCAACAGUGUCUGUGCAUUAUUUGAUUCUAAAUACUUCUUGCGCUCGCGACCAAUCUCAUUAUUGCAGUCCAUCUUUGAGAAUGGUACUUUGUCGGGUCCUCCGUAAAAUGCUAUCAUAAAGUCAUAUACCUGGGAUGGCUUCAUCCCGGCUUCCCGUAUCUGGCCAAUUAGAUGUCUAUCCGCUUCUAUAACACGUCUUUGGGACCUCAGCUUGUGCACCUUAUUGGGACUAGCAAGAUAAUGAUUGUGCUCGGUUAUAAGCUUUUGCACUGUCCAAAUACCAUCCUUGUUGACACUAAACUGAAUACGAGCCUCACAACCUGUCCUUGCAGUGUCCUUAGAUGAUUGGGUAUCUCGAUGGCCUUCGUUACUGCAAACUAUAUAUUUUUGAGAUAUACUUUUAUCACCUCGUCGCUUUGUGUGACUUUUUCUGACACUGAACCCAACCUUGGGGGCAUAUGCGUUGUACAUAUCAUAAGCGCUGUCCUCUGAAUCGAAAGCCAAUCCAACUUUUGGAACAAUCAAUGUUUGUCCAACUUUAUCAAUCGCCUGCCAUACAAUGAGUCCAGAGUUAAAUUUAUAUUACCAUAAUGUGAUGUGGGAAAAUGUUUUUCUCAUGCACUUUGUGAAUUUGUUUUCCUAAGCUUACUGAAGAACACAUAUUAAUUUUGAGCAGUCAUUUGCCAAGUAAUCAGUGCAUAGUACAGUACUAGAGUACGAUGAUCUUAUGCCGACUGUCUGAAUAGGAUAUUGCUUUUCAACCCGUACCUGCAUUCUUUGCUCUACACCGGCGACCCCGUCGUCCUGUUGACCUCCUUCUCCUAUCAUGGCGGUGGUCGUAUCCUCCCGGACUCCUCCUCCUGACAUGACGUGUGGGGCCUGCAAGUUCAUGGCGUGCGCACAGCCAUUCUCAUCCGCGAGAUUUAUGUGGGACAAGUCGUCGGCAGUGCCACCGUGGUCCGUCAUGGCCGCUCCCGUCCUUCUCGACGGUACUGCAGCUUCAAACUGCAGCGGCCAUGAAUAUCCUUCUAGGCUGAUGCGGCCAUGCGAAGGAGAGGAUGAUGAUGCGUUUGGGCGUGAGGCAAACAUAGUUGUGCUCUCCCCCGGCGGAGUGAGUGCCGGACCAGGGUUCCCUCGGCCGCCACUAGUCUCAUCUGCCAUGAUCAGAUCGCCGCUAUUCAAGGGAAGCAGAUGCUAUCAAUCACAAGUAUGCGUAUCUAAUUGAAAAGGCAUAACGACGGGAGCUGAUUGCCUGCAGUUUUUGCAGCCGAGCGGAGCCCAGGGAGCCGGGAUCGCACGUAUUUGGAGCCGAGCGAGCGCUCCCGAGCCGACGGAAGGAGCGAACGGAUCGGAAUGAACGGCAGCGGUCGGAUGUAAGGAGGGGACACGUGGACGAAUCUGGGCAGGGGUACGCACAGGGGCUUUGCAGCCGGUGUCCACGAAAUUUUCUUCCGUGAGGAUCGCCUCCGCCCCGCAUCAUCAACAAGUUACCAAGUCAACGACCACCUUUGGUUUGACCCUGUAUUGGGCUGCCCCCAUUGGUUCAACGCCGAAUCGAGCCGCCCGCUGCGGUGUCAUUAUGCCGUCUCUCCUUGCUUGAAUCCUGAGCCGCCCCGCGUGUCUCACUACUCCGGGUUGCCCUCUGCCUCGCCAGUUCAAGUCGCCAUGAGCCACCACUAUCCCGAGUCGCCAGUGAACUGUAGGUACGACAUUCAGUCGCCGAUCGCUCCGCCGGUUCUGAGUCGCUGCCUCAUCGAUAUCGCCAACCUGCCUCCGUCGGAGCUCUGGGAUGCUGGCCGCCUUGGUUUCGUGCCUCCCAAAGCCACCAUGGUCCGCCUCUUCUGUUGUGUUAACCCGCCAUUACCACGAGCCGCCCUGCAUCUGCUAUGAAUCACCGUUCCAAGUUGCCUGCUCAAACCGUUGUAGCUCUGCCUUACAGUCUCCAUCGAGCCGCCGGAGCUGUUGUGACUCCUCUGCCACCACGGGUCACGCCUCACCAUCGGGCCUCGACUGGUCCCCGGUUUAGCCACCAUCGGAUUUCAUUUCGACUCCGACCUCAAGUCACCUCCCCCACGACUGUCUUCAAACCGGACUCAAGCCGCUCUCUGCUCCGAGUCACCGUAGACUUGGGCCGGCUGCGUCUCCGCCGUCGCUUUGUGCCUCGCCGAUUCCCAAUCUGCAGCUGCGCCCAGUCGUCACAGACGCGACCCGCCAUCGGCUACGCUUGCUGACUCCGCCGCGUCGUUUAUCUCUGUUGCUGCCCUGCCGGGUUACGACCACAGAGGCGCCACGGGCCGCCACGGUCUCCGCCUCGGCUAUACGCGGGCCUGCGUCGGUCACUUCUACUGCUGGCCGCUUCGUUUCACUUCCGGGCCGCCGCGUCGCCGUGACUCGCUCCACCGGCACGCUUCGAGAUGGCCUCUGUAUCUCCUUCAACCUCCAAUACGGUCAAAUGGACGAGUUCUGAGCCGUUGUAGUGGCCCUUCAACUCCAAGUCACUGCUGCACGGCUCCGAGUCACCGGCGUGGCCUCUGUGGCCAACGCUGUCGCACCUUGAGCCGACACUGCCGCUUCUACGCCUGCGGCCUCAUCACGAUUGCAGUUCUCCUCCAACCGGCCGCCUCCACUUGAGUCGCCAAGCCAACGCUUCCGGGGCUGGCCUCGCCUCCGCUGUCGCUUGCCGCCAAACCGCCCGGCCUCGCGCCUAAACCGCUGGCCUCUGCUUCCAUGGCUUCAUCCGCCUUUGCCACCGUGAGCCGCCACGGUUUGAGUCGCCCCCGCGACUGCGCCGCUCUAAGCAGCCGGUUUACCUCGCCGCCGUGCCUUUGAGCUGCUCCUGCUGACGGUCCACCCCGUCGCUCAUCUUUAAACCGCCCCCGUGCUGAACAGCCGCAUCCUCGAGCUGCCACCUGACCCGGCAACGCGCCGCCUCGUCAAACCGCUGGCCCCGAAUAGACAAAGCAGUCGGCCCUGCAUCCUCGAGCUGCAGGAUACAGAGAUAGGAACGUAUCACGGCAAGACACCUCUCGAUGGAUGGAUAGAACGGAGGAGGAGACACACAACUAAAAAGAAAGAAGAAAAAAAAUCGCUGCUACUUCGAUUAGCAGUGGUCAGAGCGCUGCUGCAUGUGAUCAGAUAAAUAUAAUAGCCUGAAGCCAGCCUAAUUCUCGAGGAGAAGCAAACUUUUCAAAUGCACAAUUAUGGUCUACUAAAGAGGGUUAUGACCUGGACAAGUUCAAAGACGUGCACGUUUUACGCAGUGCUAAUCAUCUAUGGAUUAUCUGUUGGCUGAGAAAUCACUUUCAGAUUGAGUUAUUACACAGGUCAAAAGGCGCUACAAACAUUAACAGGCAUCUCAAUCAGCACUUAAGCAUCAGCCGGCAUCUGUCGAACCGCCGGUGCCGUCGUCGCGACCGACGCCCCUCCGUUUGUACGCGAGUCUCUGCGCCGGGUUGCUCGUACCGCAAGUUGCCCGCCUGUCUGCUACCAGCUCGCUCCUCUGCGUUGAACCACCGCCAUCUGAGGGAAGUAGUUGUCGGCUCGUCACCCGCUCUAAACCGGCUCUACUGUCGCUCGCCGCCAAACUGCUUGUGCUCGCGCUUAAACCGCUAGCCUCUGCUUCUGCGGCCUCAUCCGCCUCACCGCCAAAGUGAGCGCUGAGCCGUUCCACCACGGGCUGCGGCCUCUGAUAUCGGAACCCGUCGGGCCUGUCUGAAACACACCUGUGAAGCUGAAACCGUGAAAGGUCAUCGUUUGGGGACACAGCGAUGGAUUGUUACGUGUGAUCUCCAACAACAUACCAUCGGUGUUGCCUGACAGUUGUCAUGGAUAUUGCAUGGACUUUCUUAUUGAAGCAUUUAAAGGGUAAUUGGACGAUGCGUGGACUGAAGAAGCACGAGAUGCUAUGAUUGAACUGGGCUAUAUUUUCAUGCAAGCCUGUACUGCUGAGCUGAUCAACGCUCGUAUAUCCGCGCCAGGAUUCCUCCAGAGCGCCUCUGCUCGCUUUCGCUGUAACACGCCCUGUUGACCCACCAAGCCCCGGUGAACCGUCCUCCCUCUGCGCAAGAUCCUGCAUCGCGAGCUGCCUGAUGCCUCUGCUCGCGAGCCGCCCCCGCACACCUCGUCGGCCUCGGCUUGCCGUUCGCCUGCAAACUGCUCUACGCCGCGGCCUUGCCAGUGACUUGCUUCUGAACCGACCGCCCUGGCCCUACAGGCUGCUCCCUUCCUACGCCCCUGCGCUGAUGGAAACAACAGAAGAAAAGUCAAAGUGGUUAAGUGUUGAAAAAAAAAGUUUUGAUCAUAUCAAAAGAUAUAUGAGGUGUUCCCGAGGAUAAAUACGCCCUAAUUUCUUGGAGUGAAGAUUAUACGAACUACGGCGAACUAUGGCAAGGCCCUUGAAAGGAUCAACACAAAAGUUAUUGGUUAUCUACGGACGCCAUAUAAUGAUCAUCUGUCGCCUAAAUAUCAGGUGAUAUUUAUCUUACAUAUUUUGUUAAGUACAUGUUGAUUUCCUUCGACAAACAACUACUCCGCUCUGCUGUAUUUUUUGUACGCAGGACAAUUAUUCACUACAAAUGUGGUUUAUACCACGGACACGGAGCACGUACUAGCAACAUUGCACCCGGACCGUCCCUCGGAAUUAACUCGUUCGUCCGCGCCGGCUUACAAUGCCGCGGUCGACUCAUCUGUCCGAGCUGCUUCUGAUGUUGUGGUCGCCUUUGUCGUUCGUCUCUUGCGGUCUGGUCUACAUCAACACACCGGGCUGCAUCUGUCUGCAUGAACUGUUUAUUGAGUAUGAGCAAGUCACUGCUUGGGUAGCCCGGUUUUUUCUUCCAACACAUUGGAGGUAAAUUAUCAUUCAGCCGCCGUUUAUGCUGGAUGACUCAAUGAACAUGCGCAUAAAUCGCUGCCACUACAGUUUGGUCAACUUCAAGCAACCGAUUGGAAGGAACCAUUUGCCGAGUUGCCGACACGGCUCAUACGAGAUCAUUUAUAACCCACCGCAGUCACCUCAAUCUUCUGUGGAUUUACAUCGCGUUAUUAACACCGAUGAUAUAUACCUUCUGCUAUGGUAAAGUACGGAGAAUUUCAAGACAACUCCUUGAGUCAUCUUAAAACUCAGGGGCUACGAUGAUAUGACGCAGCAAGUCUUGCCAGUUUCAGCAAAUUCAAGUACCCCAGGAUGUUGAAGGAAAACCCAUCCCGGAGGCUACUGUUAUAUUGAUAAAAAUUUAAAGGCCGUCAGAAGUAUUCCGGCUCACAAUGAUGCUUCCGGUUUAUAGUCCGGUUUAAGGGGAAUCCUGUCUCCCACACAGCGCUGAAGCCCUUAGUGUUUGGUUUAAAUCCGGUUUAAGAGGAAACUAUCCCUUACAAGGCACUGAAGCGCUCAAAUCCGGUUUAACAAUGUCCGGUUUGAAAAGGAAUUAACUUCUCGCAAGUUCGAGUUUAAAGGCUGUUAGAAAAUUUCCGGCUGAAAAUGAAGAUUCCGGUUUAAAAUCCGGUUCAAGGGAAAGAUGUCUCCCACGAAGCUUUGAAGCUUUCAAUAUCCGGUUUAACAUCCGGUUCAAGAAGGAUUUAUCUCUUGCAAAAAGUUAAAGGGUGCUAAAGAGGACCUGCUGCCAUGAUGCGCGGUUCAAACAUGGGUAUCAUGCCUUAUUGGCUUAUCAUAUUAUUGAUCACUUGGGGGCUUGGUCGUAUCCGAACCAUAGCUACACCUCUUGAUCGGUGCAAUGCCACAACAUCACUUGGGGGCUUUGGUCAUGUCCGAACCAUAGCAACACCUUUUGAUAGGCGUAAAGCCACAACAUAACUUGGGGACUUGGUCACUUCUGAACCAUAGUCACGCCUCUUGAUCGGCCUAGUGCCACAACAUCACUUGGGGGCUUUGGUAGAACCCGAACCAUCGCUACACCUCUUGAUCGGCGUAAUGCCAAUGCAUCAUUUGGGGACCUGGCUGACUCGAACCAUAGCUACACCUUUUGGGGGCUUGGUCGUGUCCGACCAUGGUAAUGCCUCUUGACCAGCUCAAAGCCUCAUUUGCAAUGUUUUUAUAUUUGCCUUUGCUUGAAUUUUGUUCUAUUUUAAACUAUUUCUUUUGUUGUGUUUUCAAACCGGCAUUAAUAAUCCGGUUCGACUGUCAAUUACAAAUUGAUGGAACACGAUUAAAUCAUAAUCCAGAGACUAUCAGCCCGGUCUGGUUUCGACUAUAAGUCGCCAGUAUAUAUUUGGAUUGCGCCAUUGGAAUCAUGCGCUCAUAAAUCAUUGGAUUAUAUUAUUCAAAUCUUCAAAUAGCCAACAUGGCUGGAUUUUAUUAUGGUUAUCAAUAACCAGUAUUAUGAUUAAGGUUUUCAAAGUCGCUUUAGCGCAAUGGCUAUUAUAUUAUCAAGGGAUAUGAUUUAUUUUACAAUUGAAGGAAUAGUCCCAAGUCGCUAUAGGCUUACGACCCGGCACUUGGCAGCUACAUUAUUCAACUUAAGAUUAUAUCAAAUAUGCAAGUCUCGUGUCGCUGCAAGCAUGCACCAUGACACUUGGGGGCUAAUGCAAAGUCAUUUUUAUUAGUCUUAUUGAAGACCCGACUCAUCACAUCAUAAUGAGCCGGCCCUUGGGGGCUACCAAUUGCUCAUGUCAACAAUUCAAGGUACACAAAUUUUUAUAUAUUAUUGAAGGAUCCACUGCUCAAUUGGUGGAGUACAAAGCUCUUAACCUUGUGGAUGUGGGUUCAAGCCCCAUGGUGGAGACUAUAUUAUAUGAUGUUAUUAUCAAUUAUAUACAAAGUCCCAGCUCAGUAUUAUCUUACUAAGCCGGCCCUUGGGGGCUACAUGUUGCUGUUCAAAUUUACAUGGUUAUAUCUACAAAGUCCCUGCUCAUUAUUGCAUAAUGACCCGGCCCUUAGGGGCUACACUGGUUGAAGUUUUCAUGAGCAUAAAGCAAUUACAAGUCCCAGGUUGCUGCAAGCAUGACAACCCGGCACUUGGGGCUACAUAUGUGGAAUACUUAGUUCUGACUAGUGAUUAAGAUGAACAACUUGGAUUUCUUCAAGCUUGUGACAUUCAUAUUGAAGCAAAUCUUAAGCUGUUACUACGUUACCUUCUUAACAUUUGAGGGCUACAAGUGAUAGGCAUAUAAGAGGUAUAUUUUCAAAAGCUGAUGUUAACAAAUCCAGUGCCAUCAAUAUUUGUAAACCGGCAAAGUUCUACAUUCUUAAACCGGCUGAAGAUCAGAUGAGUAUUUCAAAGACCAAUAUUUUUGUUAAGCAUUGGGAGAUGAGUCAAAGGAGUUAUUCUUCACAAUAUUUAUCUGUGACAAACCAAUGUCAGCAAAUUGAUUAUGAAGCUGGCCUAUUGACCCGGAUUUUCUAAAAGGAAAUGACAAGGAUUUAAAGAGGAUCAUGAUCAGUUUAACAUGGAUAAAUCCAAAUUAAACCGGGGGCUAAUGUCGGGGAUAUACCCUGCGGUAUGACCCGGCCGGAGUUCUAAACCGGCUGGGACUUAGUAAACCGACAUGAGUUAAGUCAGACCAUGUUAAACCGGUGGCCAGUUAAGACAGACAGUUAAGACAGAUGGCUAUGACAGACGGUAAACCGGCAGGUGGUAAACCGGCAGGAGUUAAGUCAGACCAUGUUAAACCGGCGGACAAUGUUAAACCGACAGACAAUGUUAAACCGACAUACAAUAUUAAACCGACAGACAAUGUUAAACCGACAAAUAGUGAUAACUGGGUUGCCAGGGGUUAUGAAGCCCAAGACGUUAUGAAGCCCAAGACGUUAUGAAGCCCAAGAUGUUAAGAAGCCCAUGAAGAUAAGUUAGAAUAGUUAAGUCUUAAGUCCGAGUUGGACUCUACAUGUAACCCGCCUCUUCAACAUAUAUAAGGAGGGGUAGGGCUCCCCAAAGAGGGACAAGCAAGAAGAAACAAUCUUAGGGCUAGACACAAAGAGGAGAGCCGGUUUACGGUGACUCCUUCGUGAUGAUAAUGAGACCUAGCCUCAAUCAGCAUGUAGGGUUAUUACCGGAUGAUGUUUCCCGGGGCCCGAAGCUGUCUAAAUUCCUGUCUUGUGUUGUGUCUUUCGAUUCCGCUCAACCCCUCUCAAGCUUUCGCAUAUAUGCGUUGGCCUCACGACUAAGUCCUCACUCUAGGACAUCUGCCGUGACAAUUCCACGACAAUGCCAGUGAGAAGCCUUCACUGAAUAUCUCGUAACAUAGCAUAUGUAGCCAUAUGUACGGCUGUAAGUGCAGGAGAUGCAGUGUUGCACUUUUCUUUUGACUUGGUAUCCAUCUUUGGUAGCUAUAUUGUUGUGAGCAUAACAAUACAGUCUUGGUAAUUUUGAUUGAAGAGCAGUGUAGCAGUGCGUUGAACAAUUUUUUUGCUGCACUUUUGAGCCACACAAGUAGAGUAACUAUACCUCGUGGGCUAAUGAGUCAAUCUUCUCUAGUUUACCAAUCUUUUUCAUGUGCUCACUCAAGUUUCCCGUCUCUGUGGUCGAUCAACUUAACAUCUGUGGAAAGGUGUAGGAUGCAACUCAUUGUAUUCCAUGGAGUAGGUUACAAUAUAUAUACAGGAUGUCUUGCGUGACAAGGAAACUAAUCCUACCAUAUCUCAUGUCUUGCGUGACAAGGAAACUAAUCCUACCAUAUCUCUAGAAGUAAGCUAUACAAGGUUAGAGAAGAUAGGAAUAGCAAUAUGAGAUAUGUCACGUUCAACACCCCCCCGCAGUCGAACCGUCGGCGUCGGCGAUGCAAAGACUGGAACGAAACUCUUGGAAUGCAGCGGUUGGAAGCCCCUUGGUCAUAAUGUCGACAAACUGCUGGGUGGUCGGUACAUGAAGGACACGAAGCUGACCCAACUGUACCUUCUCGCGGACGAAGUGAACAUCAAGUUCAAUAUGCUUGGUGCGCUUAUGCUGCACUAGGUUGGCCGCGAGGUAGGUGGCCGAAACAUUAUCACAAAAAACCACCGUAGCUUUCGGGAUUGGAACCCGAAGUUCACCAAGUAACUGACGGAGCCAACAUGUCUCGGCAACAACAUUGGAGACGACACGGUACUCGGCCUCAGCACUCGAGCGGGAGACGGUGGGCUGCCGCUUGGAGGACCAAGAGAUGAGAGAAUCAUCGAAGAAGACACAAUACCCGGACGUGGAGCGUCGAGUGUCAGGACAACCGGCCUAAUCCGCAUCAGUGUAGGCAAGCAACUUGGUGGAGGCGGAGGCGCGAAGACGAAGCCCAAAGGUCGGUGUGCCACGAAUAUACUGAAGAAUGCGCUUGACCAGAGACCAGUGAACAUCACGGGGCGAGUGCAUAUGCAAGCAAACUUGCUGCACUGCAAAUUGAAUGUCGGGUCUGGUGAGCGUAAGGUACUGAAGAGCACCAACAAUACUGCGGUAGAGAGCGGCAUCAGUGGCAGGUUGCCUGGCAGUAGCAGAAAGCUUCGGCUUGGCCUCGGCAGGAGUGGCAGCAAGCUUCCAGUCGGUCAUACCAGCGUGAGCCGAAGGACAACACAAAUCAUGGCGGGUUUGACAACCAGAGAGAAUGUCUCCGAGAAAUCAACGCUGGCACGUUGUGAAAAGCCACGAACAACCCAACGGGCCUUGUACCUGUCCAAAGAACCAUCCGGAAGAAACUUAUGCCGAAAUACCCACUUGCCGGUGAUGAUGUUAGCUCCAGGGGGACGAGGGACCAACGUCCAAGUCCGGUUGGCGACGAGGGCAUCAUACUUAGAGCGCAUGGCUGCGAGCCAAUGCGGAUCACUCAAUGCAGAGCACACCGAGCGCGGUACGGGAGAGAUGACCGAGACACUGAGGUUAUGAUAACGAGGGUUCGGUUGCCGAAUCCCGUCCUUGGCACAUGUCACCAUAGAAUGAUGAGGCGGCAGAGGCGGGGGCCGAGCCCGACGUCGAGGAGGGACCUCAGCCUCGGGUGAAGGCGAGGCCGCGGUGACAGUCGCGGGUGACGAGGCGGUGGUCGAGGCGGGAGAUGAGACCGCCGAUGACGGCGGCGUGACCGCAGCCGAAGCCGCGGACGAGGCUGCGGGUGGCAGCACCAGCGACGGCGACAGAGCCGCGGGCGAGGCCGAGGGUGGUAGUACCAGCGACGGCGACAGAGCCGCGGGUGGCAGCAACGGCGAUGGCGUCAGGGCCGCGGGCGAGGCCGCAUGUGGCCGGGAGGCCGCAACUUGCAUGAGCGGAGUCGCGCCCGAUGACCCAGCCGACGAGGCGAGGCCAGUAGAUGCUGGUGCAGACGCCUGCUGAGGCGAGGCCAGCUCCUCCUGAGCUGGCGAGAAAGGCCCCGCUGAGAGACCCGAAGGGCUCGCCAAAGGAGGAGGCGGGCGCGGCGAGGGAAGCACAAGGGCUCCCCGAGGCCGCCGGGUGGGAGCGUCCAAGGACGGGGGCUGCCGUCGGCAAAACCUGCUGAAAGGGAAAAACACCUUCAUCAAAGUAAACAUGUCGCGAGAUGAGCACACAACGAGAGACCGGGUCGAAGCAGCGAAAGCCUUUGGUGUUGGGUUGAUAGCCAAGAAAGACACAAGCGAUAGAGCGUGGUGCAAGUUUGUGUGGUGCUGUAGCGGUAAUAUUGGGAUAACACAAACAACCAAAGACGUGAAGAUCGUCAUAGGAUGGAGGAGACCCGAACAGAAGAUGAUGAGGGGUAUAGCUCCAGCGUGGUUUGCAGGGCCGGAUGUUGAGAAGGAGAGUAGCAGUGGCGAGAGCAUCGGGCUAAAAGCGAGGCGGCAUGUGUGCAUGAAAGAGCAAAGCACGGACACUUUCAUUGAGGUGCGGAGAACACGUUCAACACGUCCGUUUUGUUGUGAUGUGUAUGGACAGGUUAAGAGAAAGAUGGUGCCAUGAGUGAAAAGAAGAUGUCGAAUGGCGAGGUUAUCAAAUUCUUUUCCGUUAUCGGUUUCAAGAUCAGCAAUGGUGCGAUGAAAGUGGGUGUUGACGUAGGCAUAAAAGGAGUGGAGAGUGGAGGCAACGUCGGAUUUUCGGCGUAACGGAAAAGUCCAAGUGAAGUGAGAAAAAUCAUCUAAAAUCACAAGAUAAUAUGAUAAGCCCGAAUUGCUAGGCACUGGAGAUGUCCAAACAUCACAAUGAAUAACAUCAAAGGGAAAAGUAGCAAUUGAUGAAGAUGAAGAAAACGAUAGACGAACGUGUUUUCCUAUGUGGCAAGCAUGACAAGUGUGAGCCACUGAUUUAUUACAUGAAAAGGGAAAAGUGCUCAAAAUUUUAUGGAGAGCGUCGGCGCUGGGAUGACCGAGACGAGUGUGCCAAAGCAAAAGAUUGGCGUGAAGUGCAACCGGGCCGCCGCGGGUAGAGGCACCGCAUGGGUAGAGAUCAUCGGGAGAGUCAGUGAUACGUCUCCGUCGUAUCUACUUUUCCAAACACUUUUGCCCUUGUUUUGGACUCUAACUUGCAUGAUUUGAAUGAAACUAACCCAGACUGAUGCUAUUUUCAGCAGAAUUACCAUGGUGUUAUUUAUGUGCAGAAACAAAAAGUUCUCAAAAUGACCUGAAACUUCAUGGAACAACUUUUUGGAAAUAAUAAAAAAUCCUUGCAAAAGAUGAAGGUCAGGGGGCCCACCACCUGUCCACGAGGGUGGGGCACGCCUGCCCCCCUAGGGCGCGCCCCCUACCUCGUGGGCCCCUUGGAGCUCCUUCGACCUCAAAUCCAACUCUAUAUAUUUGGUUUUGGAGAGAAAAAAAAUCAGAGAGAAGGAUUAAUCGCGUUUUACGAUACAAAGCCGCCGCCAAGCCCUAAAACCUCUCGGGAGGGCUGAUCUAGAGUCUGUUCAGGGCUCCGGAGAGGGGAAUCCGUCGCCAUCGUCAUCAUCAACCAUCCUCCAUCACCAAUUUCAUGAUGCUCACCGCCGUGCAUGAGUAUUCCAUCGUAGGCUUGCUGGACGGUGAUGGGUUGGAUGGGAUCUAUCAUGUAAUCGAGUUAGUUUUGUUAGGGUUUGAUCCCUAGUAUCCAUUAUGUUCUGAGAUUGAUGUUGCUAUGACUUUGCUAUGCUUAAUGCUUGUCACUAGGGCCCGAGUGCCAUGAUUUCAUAUCUGAACCUAUUAUAUUUUCAUCAAUAUAUGAGAGUUCUUUAUCCUAUCUUGCAAGUGUAUAGUCACCUAUUAUGUGUUAUGAUCCGUUAACCCCGAAGUGCCAAUAAUCGGGAUACUUACCGGUGAUGACCGUAGUUUGAGGAGUUCAUGUAUUCACUAUGUGUUAAUGCUUUGGUCCGGUACUCUAUUAAAAGGAGGCAUUAAUAUCCCUUAGUUCCCAUUAGGACCCCGCUGCCACGGGAGGGUAGGACAAAAGAUGUCAUGCAAGUUCUUUUCCAUAAGCACGUAUGACUAUAUUCGGAAUACAUGCCUACAUUACAUUGAUGAACUGGAGCUAGUUCUGUGUCACCCUAUGUUAUGAUUGUUACAUGAUGAACCGCAUCCGGCAUAAUUCUCUAUCACCGAUCCAUUGCCUACGAGCUUUCCAUAUAUUGUUCUUCGCUUAUUUACUUUUCCGUUGCUAUUGCUAUCAUCACUACAAAAUACCAAAAACAUUACUUUUGCUAUCAUUACCUUUUGCUACCGUUACCACUACUAUCUUAUUACUUUGCUACUAAACACUUUGCUGCAGAUACUAAGUUUCCGGGUGUGGUUGACUUGACAACUUAGCUGCUAAUACUUGAGAAUAUUCUUUGGCUCCCCUUGUGUCGAAUCGAUAAAUUUGGGUUGAAUACUCUACCCUCGAAAACUGUUGCGAUCCCCUAUACUUGUGGGUUAUCAAGACUAUUUUCUGGCGCCGUUGCCGGGGAGCAUAGCUCUAUUCUUUGAGUCACUUGGGAUUUAUAUCUGCUUAUCAUUAUGAAGAACUUGAAAGAUCCAAGAACUAAGAUUUAUCCCUCAACUAUGAGGGGAGGUAAGGAACUGCCAUCUAGCUCUGCACUUGAUUCACCUUCUGUUUUGAGUAAGCUUGCGACAGCUAAACUACUUCUGCUAUUCGUUAUGAUAUGUCGCAUGUUAUUGAUGAUGCCACUUCUGCUAUACAUGAUACUUAUGAUGAAACUACUUCUAUGCUUGAUACUACUGUGCCACUUGGUGAAUUUCUUGAUGAACAACUUGCUAGGGGUUAGAGAGAAUGAAAAUAUUGAAUCUGAUAAUACUGAUGAAAGUGAUGAUGAAGACUUGCCUGUUAUUCCUAAGGGUUAUGUUUUUGAUAAAGAAGCUUCUUUAGCUAUUUUAGCUUGCAAAGAUAGAUACGAGAUCAAGGGGUUAUUAGCUAAAUGGAAGCAGCAAUCUCUUAAUGCUAGAAUGAAAGCUGACCCUGCUUUUGCUACUUCACUUAUCUUUGUUACUGAUAAGGAUUAUGAAUUCUCUGUUGAUCCUGAUAUAAUUACUUUGGUUGAAUCUGAUCCUUUUCAUGGCUAUGAAUCUGAAACUGUUGUGGCACAUCUUACUAAAUUAAAUGAUAUAGCCACCCUGUUCACUAAUGAUGAGAGAACUCGUUACUUUUAUAUCCUUAAAAUAUUUCCGUUCUCAUUAAAGGGUGAUGCUAAGAUACGGUUUAAUUCUCUUGAUCCUGGUUGUGUGCGUAGUCCCCAGAAUAUGAUGUAUUACUUCUCUGCUAAAUAUUUCCCUGCUCAUAAGAAACAAGCUGCUUUAAGGGAUAUAUAUACUCCCUCCAUUCAGAAUUACUUGUCGCAGAAAUGGAUGUAUCUAUACCUAUUUUAAUUCUAGAUACAUCCAUUUUCGAGACAAGUAAUUCCGGACGGAGGGAGUAUAAUUUUGUGCAAAUUGAAGAAGAGAGUCUCCCACAAGCUUGGGGGAGGCUUCUCAAGUUACUUGAUGCUUUGCCUGAUCAUCCUCUUAAGAAAAAUGAAAUACUUGAUAUCUUUUAUAAUGGACUAACUGAUGCCUCCAGAGAUUACCUGGAUAGUUGUGCUGGUUCUGUUUUCAUGGAAAGAACACCGGAUGAAGCUGAAAUUCUAUUGAAUAAUAUGUUGACAAAUGAAAAUAAUCGGACACUUCCUAAGCCAGCUCCGGAGCCAAUUCCUGAGCCUAUUCCUAAACCAACUACGAAGAAGAGGGGUAUUCUAUUUCUCAGUCCUGAAGAUAUGCAAGAGGCAAAAAAAAUCUAUGAAAGAAAAAGGUAUUAAAGCUGAAGAUGUUAAGAAUUUACCUCCUAUUGAAGAAAUACAUGGUCUUAAUUCACCGCCUAUUGAAGAAACAUAUGGUCUUAAUCCUUUACCUAUUGAAGAAAUACAUGGUCUUGAUAACCCGACACAGGUAGUAAAGGUAAAUUCUCUCUAUAGAUAUGAUAAAGCUGAAAUCCCAUUUACUAAAUUUGCUAGCCCAUGCUUAGACGAGUUUGAUAAAUUUAUGGUUAAGCAAGAAGACUUUAAUGCUUAUUUUGGUAGCCAAUUGAAAUACAAUUCAAAUAUGCUUGAACACUUGGGUGAUUAUAUGGCUAAUGUCAAAGGUGAACUUAAACUUAUUAGUAAACAUGCUUCUAUGGUUACCACUCAAGUAGAACAAGUACUUAAAGCUCAAAAUGAUUUGCUCAAUGAAUUGAAUAGUAAGAAUAAUGAUAACGCUGUUAGAGUUAUGACUAGAGGUGGUAAAAUGACUCAAGAGCCUUUGUAUCCUAAAGGCCAUCCUAAGAGAAUUGAGCAAGAUUCUCAAAGAGAUAAUAUAGAUGCACCUAGUCCUUCUAAAAGGAAGAAAAAGAAAAAUGAUAGGACUUUGCAUGCUUCUAGUGAACCUGUUAUUGAAACACCUGAGAAUCCAAAUGAUAUUUCUAUUUCUGAUGCUGAAACACAAUCUGGUAAUGAACCUGAAUCUAGUGAUAAUGUUAAUGAUAAUGUUCAUGAUGAUGCUCAACCUAGUAAUGAUAAUGAUAUAGAAAUUGAACCUGCUAUUGAUCUUGAUAACCCACAAUCAAAGAAUCAACGUUAUGAUAAGAAAGACUUUGUUGCUAGGAAACAUGGUAAAGAAAGAGAACCAUGGGUUCAGAAACCCAUGCCUUUUCCUCCCAAACCAUCCAAGAAAAAGGAUGAUGAAGAUUUUGAGCGCUUUGCUGAAAUGAUUAGACCUAUCUUUUUGCGUAUGCGAUUAACUGAUAUGCUCAAAAUGAAUCCUUAUGCUAAGUAUAUGAAAGAUAUUAUUACUAAUAAAAGAAAGAUACCGGAAGCUGAAAUUUCCACCAUGCUUGCUAAUUAUACUUUUAAGGGUGGAAUACCAAAGAAACUUGGAGAUCCAGGAGUACCCACUAUACCAUGCUCCAUUAAAAGAAACUAUGUUAAAACUGCUUUAUGUGAUCUUGGAGCCGGUGUUAGUGUUAUGCCUCUCUCUUUAUAUCGUAGACUUGAUUUGAAUAAGUUGACACCUACUGAAAUAUCUUUGCAAAUGGCUGAUAAAUCAACUGCUAUACCUGUCGGUAUUUGUGAGGAUGUGCCUGUUGUAGUUGCAAACGUUACUAUUUUAACAGACUUUGUUAUUCUUGAUAUUCCCGAGGACGAUAGUAUGUUUAUUAUUCUUGGAAGACCCUUUUUGAAUACUGCAGGGGCUGUUAUUGAUUGCACUAAAGGCAAUGUCACUUUUCAUGUUAAUGGUAAUGAGCAUACGGUACACUUUCCGAGGAAACAACCUCAAGUUCAUAGUAUCAACUCUAUUGGAAAAAUCCCAUCGAUUAUAUUUGGAGGUUUUGAAUUUCCUCUUCCUACUGUCAAGAAGAAAUAUGAUAUUCUUAUUAUUGGGGAUGUGCAUAUCCCCGUUGAGGUAACAUAGUGUUAUUCGAAAUUUCUCCGGUUCCAUGUUAUUCGGAAUGAGUUCGUUAACAAGACUUGAUCAACCUUGUUAGUGGAUUCCUUUUGAUGAGCAUGAGAUGGAUGAAACUAGAAGGCACAACCUUCUGUACCCUCCUUUUACUUUCUGUUAUUUAUAUUAAAUAAAAUAAAAAUAGUAUUUUUCUGUCUGUUAUCUGAUCAUCCGUGCAAUAUAAAAUACCCUGAAAAUAAAAGUUCUCCAAAUGUCCUGAAAUUUAAAUAUGAUUUUUUCUGAAAUAUUUGAGAAUAUUUGGCACUGAGAAUACGAUAGGGGGGUCAUCCACCUGGCCACGAGGGUCAGGGGAGCGCCCUACCCCCUGGGCGCCCCCUGCGUCGUGGGCCCACGGUGGCCUUCCUCCACUUAUCCUUUCACCCACACACUCUUUCUUCCUCCCCCAAACACGAAUAUCCAGCUCAAACCCAAGUCCAAGCUCAUUUUGCUGCCAUUUUCGAUCUCCUUGCUCAAAGCACCUCUCACAAAAAUGCUUGGGGAGAUUGUUCCUUGGUAUGUGACUCCUCCAUUGGUCCAAUUAGUUUUUGUUCUAGUGCUUUAUUCAUUGCAAAUUUUUGCUGCUUAGGUGACCCUGUUCUUGAGCUUGCAUGUCAAAUUUAUAUGGUCAAGAGUAGUUUUGAUGCAUGAUAUAGGCCCUAGGCACUUGUAGGAGUAGUUGCUAUCAAUAUUACUGAGUUUGAUUUACUUUUAUUUUGAAGUUACUAAAAAUUUCAGAAUUUUUUAGAAAAUAAUGAAGACUUUUGAGGGGCUCAUCGAGCCGAAGCUCGAAGGAAAAGGCACAGAAGCCCAAGUAUAAUCUGCCUUGCACCACGGAGGUUCGGUCGUGUGAAUGGCCUUCCGAUGAUUUCUUGAGAGCAGCGGGGAUUUAUGAAGAUCUUUAUGAAUUGGCUAAGAAUGCAGGCCUCACCGCUUUCCUCCACGACCAACGCGAUCAGUAUUUCCUACUCACAAAUAUCUUUGUGAAAAACUUUCAUUCCAUUCUAGGAGCUCACCACCUACGGUGGAGUUUUAUUUAUAUGAUAAGCAUAAGGAGAUGUCAGUUUAUGAUUUUUGUCGGGUUUGUUUGGUCCCUUUCGAGGGCACGAUAGAGGAACCACAUCACAGCGAUGUGGAUGGGUUUAUUGAUAUCAUCACUGUAGGGGAAACGAGGAAGGUUUCCGAUGCACGAAUCACUAGCAUACAUUUUCCCGUUUUACGCUAUUUUGCAUUAUUUGCUAGUCGUUGCUUAAUUGGUCACGGAAACUAUGGAAACCUUAGUGUUCCUGAUAUUAUUAUUUUGCUCCAUGGUUUAUUCAGUGAUAACUCUGUUAGUAUGGGCGGCAUUAUUGCUAAACGGUUAAGUCUGAACCGUACAAAGGGCCCCAUCUUUAGAGGCAUCUAUGCUUCACGCCUAGCUGCACAUUUUAAUAUACCUAUUAGGCAUUAUGAGAAGGAAGAAAAAGUGUUGCCUCAUGUUUAUUUAGAUUAUAAGAGUAUGGUAGCACAAGAUUGUAUUGUUAAGAAUAGGGAAGGAGAGCUUAAAUACAAUUUGUUCUUUGAUAAACAUCAUCAUGAGACUAUUACCCUGCCUGCUCCUUCCUUGUUUAAUUUAUCUGCAGGCCAGUACCUUGUUCUGUUAGAGGCUAUUCACGCCUAUCGGAACCCUACAUCAGCCACAGAGCCAGAGCCAGAACCACAGGUUGAUCCUCCAUGACAGUCUAAUUACCAGUGGGAUCCGGAGAUGCUUGCCAACAAGUGGCAAUCGGAGUCUUCUUCUUCGCAGUACGACCCCAACUAUUAUUAUGGAUAUCCGCCAGGCCAACUGUGGCCAUAGACCAACUUAGGCCAAAAGCCUAAGUUUGGGGGAUUAUGUAUUUCUCACUGACAUUUCAUUUAUGUUCACACACUCAUUGCCAUAUGUCGGUGCUCAUACUUUUUCAUUGUAUCAUCCAUGCUAGUUUAUUUCCUUUUUAUGCUUUCUUCUUGUGUGUUUGGUAAACCUUAAGAAAAAACCAAACAAAAGUUAGUUGUAUCUUUUAAUUAGUUUACUUUUCAAGCUUGUAGUAGUAAUUAAAAAGAAAACCCAAAAAGAUUUCAUGUUCUUCUUUUACUUGUUGGGAGCUCUCCAGUGUUAAAAGUUUUAUUUCUUUUCUUUGGGGGUCGAUAGGAGAAGACCAUAAUUAAAUUGUUGAAGUGGUUCUUAUAUGCAUUAUUGUUGAUCUGACAAAAGAGCCCAUAUUGCCUUGUCUUCUCCUGUUUAUUGAAUGCUUGCAGAUUCUAGCUUAGUCCAAUGCAUGUGCACUAUUAUUAUUAUCCACAUCGUUCGGUCGUGCAAGUGAAAGCCAAUAAUGAUGAUUAUAUGAUGAACUUAUUGAGAUGAGAAAAGCUGGUAUGAACUCGACCUCUCUUGUUUUUGUAAAUAUGAUUAGUUCAUCAUUCCUAAUUCAGCCUAUUAUGAAUAAACAUGUUUGCAAUGACAACUAGAGAUCAUAGUUCUUGUGCCAUGCUUGAUUAGCUAGGAGCUUAUAAUGGUUUAUCUUGCGUGCCAACAUGCUAUUAAAAUGGUUGUGAUGUGGUAUGAUAGGGUGGUAUCCUCCUCUGAAUGAUUUAAGUGACUUGACUUGGCGCAUGUUCACGCAUGUAGUUGAAACAAAAUCAACAUAACCUUCACGAUAUUUAUGUUCAUGGUGGAUUAUAUCCUACUCGUGCUUGCAUUCGGUGUUGAUUAAUUUUAAUGCAUGUUCAUGACUGUUGUCGCUCUCUAGCUGGUCGCUUCCCAGUCUCUUGCUAGCCUUCACCUGUACUAAGCGGGAAUACUGCUUGUGCAUCCAACUCCAUAAACCCCAAAGUUAUUCCAUAUGAGUUGUGACACCCCGAGACCAAUGUGCCAGGUGUCGUCCAGUUAUUCGUUGUUGUUGCCUUGUCAUUUGCUUGCGUGUCAUGCAUUUCAUAUCUUUGCAUCAUGUGCAUUGCAUCAUGUCAUAAAUCUUUUGCAUCUUAACUAAAUAGUUUGUGUGGAUCUUCGAUCCAUUUAAAUUGAGGGAAGAGUGACUUCUCUUUAUAACUUUAUCCUCCUAAUAUUUAGGGAGUUAUUAUAAAUAUUCCAUUAAUUUGGAAUCAUCGUAACACACAUGCAAAAUAAUUCCCAUGUCUGUUCCUCUUUGAUUUUGACCUUCAAACCUUGCCAAUAUCUCUCAUCUCUUUUCUCGAGGCUCCUCCUAAAACCUCAACAUUUUUGGACACCUCUUAUUGCUAGCCCUUGUUCAAACCAUUUGAAUUAAAUUCAAAUGAUUUUGAAUUAAAUCCUUGCGAUCAUGCCUCUCCUAUUUUUCUUGGAAUCAACGCAUUUUUCCGAGUCCGGGAAUAUUAUUUGCGUGUGCUAAUUCUUUCCCUAUCCCUCUCUUUCUUUUCGUCUCUCCAAUUCUUUUCUGUUAAAGGAAAUAUGAGAGAGAGAGAGAAGAGAGAUAGCACAGGCCGGCCCAACCUCCAGCGCAGGCCCAUUUGCCCCUCCAAGGCCCAGCCAUCCCACCUACACCUAACCUAGCCCACACCCUCUGGACGAUCCUCUCUCCCCCCUUCGUUUCCUGCUUGCGCCGCCAGGAGAGGAUCGCUCGCACCCGACUCCCUCUCCCUCUCCAUUCGCUCGAUCUCCCCACCUCUCGCUCCCGUGUCCGAACCACCUGCGCCUCCCUCUCUCUCGCUCACGUCGAGCCCCUCCACUCCUUCCAGUAAGGCCCCGCACCACUCGUCCCAAUUUUGGCCGAAGCUCGCCGGAGCCACAACACCGGCCGUCACUGGACCUCCUCCUCGGCUCCACCCUGCCGGCUCCCGGCGCCUCCGCCUCACCCUCGAUACCCCACCGCCUACAGUGAACAUCGCCGGCCUCUCCUUCUUCCUCUCGUGCGCCUCCCUCUCCUGCAAGGAUGCCCCUCGCCUUGCCGCAGCCGAGCUGCGGCAUGGCACCGACCGGUACUGGCCUCGACCUCCUCACCUGCUGUCAAGCUCCUGGAGCUGCUGCUGCUCCCUGCAUCGCCGCGCCCUCAAGUGCAUCGUCCCCCGUAGCCGGUCCAGGAGCUCCUUCGUGCCUUGCUGCCGCUGUCCUUCUGCAGCGCCGCCGUCCAUGUCCGCUGGAGGCCGCUGCUCGUCUCGCCCCUCUGCUGCCGGCGACCGAGGCCGCUGGGGCAUGCCCGCAGUCACCCAGUGCCGCCUUGCACCGCUCCUCUUCCUCGCGUGACCCGAGGCCCCUUGUGCUGUUUUGUGUUGGACGUCAAGGCCACCAAGUUUGACUACGGGUAUUCGCCAAGUACCAUUCGGAUACCGCCAAUUUCGACUACCGCACGGUUACGCCAAGUUCAUGUACGAAACAUGUACAUCUACUCCGUCAAGACCCGGACCGACAAGUACCCCAACGUCAUGUGUACAACGACCGUCGCCGAAGACCCGGAUAGCAAAACGUCAAGUACCUGUGACCGAAGAACACCAUGUACCUCUCCGAAAAAUGAACAUGUACCACUACGUCCGAAGACCUCGAAACCGUCAAGUCCGACAAUGAUUGUGCACAACUACCGAUGACGUGCAUGUUGCCAAGUACCCUAUCCGGAUCGUCAUGUUCCACUACCGUCGGCGAGAUCGCGAGAACCUCUACCGUCGACCCUAGAGCGUGCGAGAACGUCUUCUUCCACUACCGCCGUCGCGAGAACGUCUACUUCCCUCUACGAACGAGAAUCGUCCCCUUCGCACGCUUCAAAGGUAUAACCCCGAGACGAUCAUCCGAGAACGAAUGCUUGUGUCGUAUGAGAUGCACCCUUUGUCUGCACCGUGUCCGGAGUGUCUCUCGCGUCCAUGCCAUCGACUUGUGGGACACCCGGAAUCCGGGAGCGCCCCACCAUCUUUUGCACGCAUCCGCACACUUCUCCUUUGCAUCGGUAUCUCAAUCGAGUUACCGGAACCGGAACGUUGCCGUGGCACCGUUUCCGUUAUCAUCGCCGUGGCACCCUUUCUUUCCACCAUGAUGACAAAUGCUCCAUAUUAUGCUCAUGUCAACUUUAAAUUAAAAUUGCAUAAACUUGUUCAUGCCAUCCGCAUCAUGAUAACAACUUCAAGAAUGUUUAAAGUGUUGUUUGCAUUAAAUUACUAAUGCAUAUGGGGAUUUACCGAGUUUGUUGUUUGUUAUAUCCGGCCCCAUUUAAAUUGUUUAGAUGGUAUAGUUUUCUUAUGUUUCACCUCUUGACAUGCUUAACAACAUCUAAUAUUGUUGGGUACAUAAACGAGAUCGAACUAAAUAACUUGAAUGUGGUGUUUCGUCAAUAUGUAACGGAGUUGCAUGUUGAGCUCCACUUAAUUUGUAGGAUUGUUUGUGCAUUUUGCCAUGCCAUGCUUCUUUAAACCGGACAUGCAUCCUACUUGGUUGUGCAUCAUGCCAUGUUGUUGUAGUGGUUGUUUACUAUGUUGUUUGCUUUCUUUCCGGUGUACUUCUUCUCGGUAAUCCGGUAACAUCGCGUUUGUGAGGAACCGUUUGACUAUGUCCGUUUGUCUUCUUCAUGGACUCAUUCUUCUUCCUUGCGGGAUUUCAGGCAAGAUGACCAUACCCUCGAAAUCACUUCUAUCUUUGCUUGCUAGUUGCUCGCUCUUUUGCUAUGCCUAUGGUGCGAUACCUACCACUUGCUUGUCAUGCCUCCCAUAUUGUUGAACCAAGCCUCUAACCCACCUUGUCCUAGCAAACCGUUGUUUGGCUAUGUUACCGCUUUGCUCAGCCCCUCUUAUAGUGUUGUUAGUUGUAGGUGAAGAUUGAAGUUUGUUCCUUGUUGGAACAUGGAGAUGUUGUUCCUUGUUGGAACAUGUUUACUUGUUGGGAUAUCACAAUAUCUCUUAUCUAAUUAAUGCACCUAUAUACUUGGUAAAGGGUGGAAGGCUUGGCCUUAUGCCUGGUGUUUUGUUCCACUCUUGCCGCCCUAGUUUCCGUCAUAUCGGUGUUAUGUUCCCGGAUUUUGCGUUCCUUACGCGGUUGGGUAUAAUGGGAACCCCUUGACAGUUCGCCUUGAAUAAAACUCCUCCAGCAAGGCCCAACAUUGGUUUUACCAUUCGCCACCUAGACUUUUCUUUCCCUUGAGUCGGCCGACUCAAGGGUCAUCUUUAUUUAAACCCCUGGGCCAGUGCUCAUUUGAGUGUUGGUCCACCUUGUUGUUAGGGAACGUAGCAGAAAUUCAAAAUUUUCCUACGUGUCACCAAGAUCUAUCUAUGGAGAAACCAGCAACGAAGGGAAGGAGAGUGCAUCUACAUACCCUUGUAGAUCGCUAAGCGGAAGCGUUCAAGAGAACGGGGUUGAAGGAGUCGUACUCGUCGUGAUCCAAAUCGCCGGAGAUCCUAGUGCCGAACGGACGGCACCUCCACGUUCAACACACGUACAGCCCGGUGACGUCUCCCAUGCCUUGAUCCAGCAAGGAGAGAGGGAGAGGUUGAGGAAGACUCCAUCCAGCAGCAGCACAACGGCGUGGUGGUGGUGGAGGAGCGUGGUACUCCAGCAGGGCUUCGCCAAGCAUCGCAAGAGACGAGGAGGGAGAGGGGUAGGGCUGCGCCAAGAAGGAGAGGAACUCGUGUGUCUUGGGCAGCCCAAACCUCAAGUAUAUAUAGGGGGAGGGGAGGGGCUGUGCCCCCACCUAGGGUUCCCUCCCUAGGGGUGGCGGCAGCCCCCCAUAUCCCAUCUGGGUGGCGGCCACAAGGGGGAGAGGGGGAGGUGCACCUGGGGUGGGCCUUAGGGCCCAUCUGCCCUAGGGUUUGCCCUCCUUCCCUCUUGGAGGCGCCUUGGGCCUUGGUGGGGGGGGGGGCGCACCAGCCCACCUGGGGCUGGUCCCCUCCCACACUUGGCCCAUGCAGCCCUCCGGGGCUGGUGGCUCCACUUGGUGGACCACCGGACCCCUCCGGUGGUCCCGGUACACUACCGGUAAAACCCGAAACUUUUCCGGUGACCAAAACAGGACUUCCCAUAUAUAAAUCUUUACCUCCGGACCAUUCCGGAACUCCUCGUGACGUCCGGGAUCUCAUCCGGGACUCCGAACAACAUUCGGUAACCACAUAUAUCUAUUCCUUAUAACCCUUGCGUCAUUGAACCUUAAGUGUGUAGACCCUACGGGUUCGGGAACCAUGCAGACAUGACCGAGACGUUCUCCGGUCAAUAACCAACAGCGGGAUCUGGAUACCCAUGUUGGUUCCUACAUGUUCCACGAUGAUCUCAUCAUAUGAACCACGAUGUCGAGGAUUCAAUCAAUCCCGUAUACAAUUCCCUUUGUCUAGCGGUACGAUACUUGCCCGAGAUUCGAUCGUCGGUAUCCCGAUACCUUGUUCAAUCUCGUUACUGGCAAGUCUCUUUACUCGUUCCGUAACACAUCAUCCCGUGAUCAACUCCUUGGUCACAUUAUGCACAUUAUGAUGAUGUCCUACCGAGUGGGCCUAGAGAUACCUCUCCGUUUACACGGAGUGACAAAUCUCAGUCUCGAUUCGUGCCAACCCAACAGACACUUUCGGAGAUACCCGUAGUGCAUCUUUAUAGCCACCGAGUCAUCUUGCCCAUGUGGUAUGAUUUGCAUGUCUCAAGUGAUUCAAAAAUCAAGUGAGUCCAAACGGUCCAUUUGCAUGGAGUUUCUUCAUGCAUAUACACCAAUAGACAUGGUUUGCAUGUCUCAAACUUUUCAAAAAAAAGUGAGCCCAAAGAUCCAUCAACAUGGAGCUUCUUCAUGCGUUUUAUACCGAUAUGACUUACGUUGCAGUGCCACAAGUAGGUGGUACUAUCAUUACUAUCUUAUAUCUUUUGGCAUGAACAUGUGUAUCACUACGAUCGAGAUUCAAUAAACCAUUCAUUUUAGGUGCAAGACCAUUGAAGGUAUUAUUCAAAUAAACAGAGUAACCAUUAUUCUCCUUAAAUGAAUAACCGUAUUGUGAUAGACAUAAUCCAAUCAUGUCUAUGCUCAACGCAAACACCAAUCUUGAUGGUAGAGGGAGCGUACGAUAUUUGAUCAACCUUGGAAAUACUUCCAACACAUAUCGUCAUCUCACCUUUUAGCUAGUCUCCAUUUAUUCCGUAGCUUUUAUUUCGAGUUACUAACACUUAGUAACCGAACCGGUAUCUAAUACCCUGGUGCUACUAGGAGUACUAGUAAAGUACACAUUAACACAAUGUAUAUCCAAUAUACUUCUACCGACCUUGCCAGCCUUCUCAUCUACCAAGUAUCUAGGGUAAUUCUGCUCCAGUGGCUGUUCCCCUUAUUACAGAAGCACUUAGUCUUGGGUUUGGGUUCAACUUUGGGUUUCUUCAUUAGAGCAGCAACUGAUUUGCCGUUUCAUGAAGUAUCCCUUCUUGCCCUUGCCCUUCUUGAAACUAGUGGUUUCACUAACCAUCAACAAUUGAUGCUCCUUCUUGAUUUCUACUUACGCGGUGUCAAACAUCGCGAAUAUUUCAAGGAUCAUCAUAUCUAUCCCUGAUAUGUUAUAGUUCAUCACGAAGCUCUAGAAGCUUGGUGGCAAUGACUUCGGAGAAAUAUCACUAUCUCAUCUGGAAGAUCAACUCCCACUCAAAUCAAAUGAUUAUUGUACUCAGACAAUCUGAGCACAAGCUCAACAAUUGAGCUUUUCUCCCUUAGUUUGCAGGCUAAGAAAAUUUUCGGAGGUCUUAUACCUCUUGACGUGGGCACGAGCCUGAAAUCCCAAUUUCAGCCCUCGAAACAUCUCAUAUGUUUCGCGACGUUUCAAAAAUGUCUUCGGUGCCUCAACUCUAAACCGUUUAACUGAACUAUCACGUAGUUAUCAAAAUGUGUAUGUCAGAUGUUCGCAACAUCCACAGACGACGUUCGAGGUUCAGCACACUGAGCGGUGCAUUAAGGACAUAAGCCUUCUAUGAAGCAAUGAGGACAAUCCUGAGUUUACGGACCUAGUCCGCAUAAUUACUACUAUCAACUUUCAACUAAAUUUUCUCUAGGAACAUAUCUAAACAGUAGAACUGAAGCGCGAGCUAUGACAUAAUUUGCGAAGACCUUUUGACUAUGUUCAGGAUAAAUAAGUUCAUCUUAUGAACUCCCACUCAGAUAGACAUCCCUCUAGUCAUCUAAGUGAUUACAUGAUCCGAGUCAACUAGGCCGUGUCCAAUCAUCACGUGAGACGGACUAGUCAACAUCAGUGAACAUCUUCAUGUUGAUCGUAUCUUCUAUACGACUCAUGUUCGACCUUUCGGUCUUCUGUGUUCUGAGGCCAUGUCUAUACAUGCUAGGCUCGUCAAGUCAACCUAAGUGUUUGCAUGUGUAAAUCUGCCUUACACCCGUUGUAUGUGAAUGUUAGAAUCUAUCACACCCGAUCAUCAUGUGGUGCUUCGAAACAACGAACUGUCGCGACGGUGCACAGUUAGGUGGAACACUUUCUUGAAAUUAUUAUGAGGGAUCAUCUUAUUUACUACUGUCGUUCUAAGUAAACAAGAUGCAAAAACAUGAUAAACAUCACACGCAAUCAAAUAAUAGUGACGUGAUAUGGCCAAUAUCAUAUAGCUCCUUUGAUCUCCAUCUUGGGGCUCCAGGAUCAUCUUGUCACCGGCAUGACACCAUGAUCUCCAUCAUCAUGAUCUCCAUCAUCGUGUCUCCAUGAAGUUGUCUCGCCAACUUAUUACUUCUACUACUAAGGCUACCGGUUAGCAAUAAAGUAAAGUAAUUACAUGGCAUUGUUCAAUGACACGCAGGUCAUACAAUAAAUAAAGACAACUCCUAUGGCUCCUGCCGGUUGUCAUACUCAUCGACAUGCAAGUCGUGAUUCCUAUUACAAGAACAUGAUCAAUCUCAUACAUCACAUAUCAUUCAUCACAUUCUUCUUGGCCAUAUCACAUCACAUAGCAUACCCUGCAAAAACAAGUUAGACGUCCUCUAAUUGUUGUUUGCAUGUUUUACGUGGCUGCUAUGGGUUUCUAGCAAGAACGUUUCUUACGUACGCAAAAACCACAACAUGAUAUGCCAAUUGCUAUUUACCCUUCAUAAGGACCCUUUUCAUCGAAUCCGAUCCGACUAAAGUGGGAGAGACAGACACCCGCUAGCCACCUUAUGCAACUAGUGCAUGUCAGUCGGUGGAACCAGUCUCACGUAAGAGUACGUGUAAGGUCGGUCCGGGGCGCUUCAUCCCACAAUGCCGCCGAAUCAAGAUUGGACUAGUAACGGUAAGCAUAUUGAACAAAAUCAACGCCCACAACUACUUUGUGUUCUACUCGUGCAUAGAAACUACGCAUAGACCUAGCUCAUGAUGCCACUGUUAGGGAACAUAGCAGAAAUUCAAAAUUUUCCUACGUGUCACCAAGAUCUAUCUAUGGAGAAACCAGCAACGAAGGGAAGGAGAGUGCAUCUGCAUACCCUUGUAGAUCGCUAAGCGGAAGCGUUGAAGAGAACGGGGUUGAAGGAGUCGUACCCAUGUUGGUUCCUACAUGACCGAGACAUUCUCCGGUCAAUAACCAACAGCGGGAUCUGGAUACCCAUGUUGGUUCCUACAUGUUCCAUGAUGAUCUCAUCGGAUGAACCAUGAUGUCAAGGAUUCGAUCAAUCCCGUAUACAAUUCCCUUUGUCUAGCGGUACGAUACUUGCCCGAGAUUUGAUCGUCGGUAUCCCGAUACCUUGUUCAAUCUCGUUACUGGCAAGUCUCUUUACUCGUUCCGUAACACAUCAUCCCGUGAUCAACUCCUUGGUCACAUUGUGCACAUUAUGAUGAUGUCUUACCGAGUGGGCCCAGAGAUACCUCUCCGUUUACACGGAGUGACAAAUCCCAGUCUCGAUUCGUGCCAACCCAACAGACACUUUCGGAGAUACCCGUAGUGCACCUUUAUAGCCACCCAGUUAUGUUGUGACGUUUGGCACACCCAAAGUAUUCCUACGGUAUCCGGGAAUUGCACAAUCUCAUGGUCUGAGGAAAUGAUACUUGACAUUAGAAAAGCUUUAGCAUGCGAACUACACGAUCUUGUGCUAUGCUUAGGAUUGGGUCUUGUCCAUCACAUCAUUCUCCUAAUGAUGUGAUCCCUUCAUCAACGACAUCCAAUGUCCAUGGUCAGGAAACCGUAACCAUCUAUUGAUCAACGAGCUAGUCAACUAGAGGCUUACUAGGGACAUGGUGUUGUCUAUGUAUCCACACUUGUAUCUGAGUUUCCUAUCAAUACAAUUCUAGCAUGGAUAAUAAACGAUUAUCAUGAACAAGGAAAUAUAAUAAUAAUCAAUUUAUUAUUGCCUCUAGGGCAUAUUUCCAACACUUGUCAGCCGCCGGUGGCCACCAGGGGCAACUCUGGGCUGGCCUAUCGGAAGUUUGGACAAUCCGGUGUGCCCUGAGAACGAGAUAUGUGCAGCUCCUAUCGGGAUUUGUCGGCACAUUCGGGUGGCUUUGCUGGUCUUGUUUUACCAUUGUCGAAAUGUCUUGUAAUCGGGAUUCCGAGGCUGAUCGGGUCUUCCCGCUAGAAGGAAUAUCCUUCGUUGACCGUGAGAGCUUGUGAUGGGAUAAGUUGGGACACCCCUGCAGGGAUUUGAACUUUCGAAAGCCGUGUCAUGGUUCUAACUCUGACAGUGAUGUAGGGGGGUAUGUAUGGAGAGGCUAGAUCUUAGCUACGGAGGAGUUGUAAGAACACACAAGGAUUACGAGUUCAGGCCCUUCUCGGAGGAAGUAACAGCCCUACGUCUCGGUGCCCGGAGGCGGUCGACUGAAUUAUGUGUGUAUGAAUAACAGGGGUGCGAACCCCUGAUACUGAGGAGGGGGGUGGCUUAUAUAGAGUUUGCCAGCCCUCUCCAGCCCUCAGUAAUGCAGGGUUUUAAAGUACAUUAAGACUGGGGGUUACUGGUAACGCCCUAAUAAAGUGCUAUGAUGACCAUAAAAGCUACUUAAUGACUGACCGUUUGCGUGCGGGGUGACUUUAGAUCUCCUGGCAGUCGAGUGGUUGGAUCUUGGUCGAGUGAUUGCUUUGUGGUCGAGUGUCUUGAAUCCGUCGAGUGGGAUACCUCCAAGUCGAUUGAAAGGUGACUUCUUCUAGGGAUGUCCUUGGGUAGGGUACUUAGGACAGGUCCAUGCCCCUACCCUAGGUACAUAGCUUCAUCAUUAGCCCCUGAAUGGAUCGAGGUUCGAGUGGGGAAGGAGUUGGGGAUCUUUCCGACUGGUUCUUCAUGUUAUAUGAACGUCUCAUUUUGGAUCAAUUGUCACGGAUGACGUCGUGAACUUCUUUCAGUCACCUUGAUCCAUUCUUGGCCUCUUGUCGAGUGAAUUUCUUUACUUGUGAAGUUCCGAGUGACGGUGUGAAAGGGAUCUUCUGUUUGACGAGUUGUUCUGUGGCCCGCGGAUCUUGCGGGAUUUGAAUUUCGAGAAGCGCGCGGGACGGGGGCGGCCGCAGUAAUCGGAUGGGAUAGGACGGAAGCUCCUUGAUCCCAGCGCCACCAUAUUCGCCACGUAGCGCGCGCGCCUGUUGUGGGAUUUGACGGGAUUGCCUGGGCCUACCAGUCAGCCACUCGGAAGCGACCUCUUAUAAGCUGCCGGCUCGGGACCCCCGAAUAGUGCGCCUUCACUUUUCCCCCUUCCUUCACAAGAUCCUCCGCCACCUCCGCUCUCACCUUGGUGCCGUAGGUCUGUUCAAGCUUCACCGACGACGAUGGUGAAGGAGAAGACGUCGGCUCUAGAGCGUGCGAAGAAGGCGGCGGUGCAGGGGAAGGGGAAGAAGUCCGCUCGGGGCGGAUCUUCCUCGAGGACUGCUCUGCCCAAGGAUUGGAUCCAGGGUGACUGGAUGCCGUCGGUGAUUCGGCAGGAUGAUCUCGAUGAUCUGGUCGAGGGGGGACUCAUUCCCCACGAAUCUGCGCGUCUCCCGGGGAAAGAAGUCGAACCCCAGCCUCUUGAUGGUGAGUGAAUCCUCCUCACCACCCAUAUCGCCGUGGAUUCUCUCUGCCUCCUCAUCCUUUUUUCCAGAGCUUCUUGAACUUCUUCGGAGCGCAGCUCCAUCACUUUACUCCCAAUUCUAUUGUGUAUCUCGCUGCUUUCGUUUGCUUGUGUGAAAACUUCUUGGGUUGCCGCCCCCAUUGGGGACUCUUCAAGCACAUCUUCACUUGCCGCUCUCAGUCGGUCAAGAAGGCCAAAUCGAGUGAUGAACGGACACAGGUGAUCCAGCUGUGCGGGGGCCUGGCGAUCUAGAUGAGGGGAAAAAGUUCCUUUCCGUCUAUCACUUUUCCCGAGUCAGUCCGUGGGUGGCAGUCGACUUGGUUUUACUGUAAAGACCAGGUGACCCCAGGACAGUCGACUGGGCUUCCCCCUUUUUCUCUGAAUCGAGCACAAAAACCUGCCUCUCUGAAAGUGACGCCGGAGGAAAAGGCGCAAGUCAAGGUGCUGGUUGGUCGAGUGGUUCAGCUUGUCCGCGAGGGUGUGACUGGCAUGGACUUGUUGGAAGUCUUCCUUCGGAGGCGCAUCCAACCGCUUCAGGCUCGUGACCACCCGAUGUGGCUGUACUCGGGUCUUGAAGACACCACUCGGAUUCACCCAGAGGAGGUCACUGACGAGAUGUUGGAAGGGUGGCUGUCGAGUAUCACAGGGAACAAGGACAACCCCCGAGGAGCCAGGAGGAUUCCUCCACUCGACCAAACAUACAAAGUGGACAAGGUCUAACCUUGCGUUUCCGACUGUGAUCUUGCUUUCUUUAUUUGUUCUCUUUGGAUCAGUCGAUUGACUUUUGUCUUCUUUGUUGUCCUCUACGCCACUACUGAGAUGUACUCGACACCCUACGGAGCACAGGAGCAGGCCGAGGAAGGAGAGGCGAGCAGAGGCGAAAGUGGAGACGAGGGAGAAGAGUGGGAAUUUGACGGCGAAGGAGAGGGGGAUGACGACACCGACUCUAGUGAAGAGGAGGAGGAAGAAGCCGAACCUCCCUGCUCGGAACGGCGAUCCAAGCUUACACACAACCCUGCGCGGGAACGUGGUAAGGCGACUGUCCCUGUUGGGCAGUCAUCGAAGCGCCCUCGGACCUCAUCUCCAGUGCCGACAGAAAAAGCUCCCAAGCACCCACGCGCGACGCCGUCCAAGCCGCCGAAGGCUCUGCCCAAGAUGAAGAUGAUUGUCCCCACCAUUUCUGGGUAAUAGUAGAAUUUGUUUUCCUUUGUCGAACAUGACAGACUCUUGGUUGACUCAUUGAAUAAGCUGACUGACUUUCGAAAUUUGUAGUGCUACCACCUCAGAGAUCUCCGCCAAGGACGAUGAUCAAGAGAUGGAAGACGCUGUUACCUCCAACCCCGGUACGAUUAUUGAUGCUCUGCUUUUGGUCGACUGACGAUUUCUUAUAAUUCCGGUCGAUUGGAUUUUUCUUGUAGCUCCUCCUCAUGUCAUUGACCUCCCUGAUGAUGACGACGAAGUGCCGCUGAGGGCGCGAAGGAACAGGAGGGCGCCGGCUAGCAAGACCCCACAAACUACUCCGGCGUCUGAGGCCGUAGUCUGGGAGGGUGGUGAUACCACUCGGGCUUCCGUGACCUUCGCUGAAGCUCUGACGAGUGUCCGGCCUUCGACGUCGACUGCAAAUCCGCCUUCGCUUUUUGCCACACACCACGUCCCUGAGGACCAAGUGGGUGCCGCUAAAGAGGCUAUACGCCAGGCGGGGAUCAUGAUGGAGCAAGUGAAGGUGGUUCGAGAAGCCAGCCAAGCAGCUUAUGAUGCGAGUUCAGCUCUUCAGAGCAACGUCCAGGUCAGUCGAUUCACCGCUUGUUCUGUUAGGAUAUGCUAUCUGAAGAAUCUCUUUUCCGAAGAUCUUUAUAUCUGUACACCCACUGGGUGUGUCUAUUAAUCCUUUUGACGAGUGGGGGCACGCUAAGUGCACCCACUGGGUGUAGUCCCCGAGACUACGGUGGACUGCUGGUAGUCGACUGUAGUCUCUAUAUUGUGUUGCUUUAGCUGAACUUCUUCACUCGGUCUAGUCAGGCCAUGUCGAAUGGAACUGUACACGGUCGACUGCGGGCAGUCGAUUUUUUUUGGUCGAACCAGUGGGGGAACGCUGAGUGCACCCACUGGGUGUAGUCCCUGAGACUACUGUCGAAUGUUUUUUUGAUUCGGCUGUAGUCUUAGAAACGCCAUCAUUGUCUCUUGGUUACUCAAAAGCAACUUAUCUUGGAUGUCUGUCGACUGAUUUUUUGCAGAAAUCCUGCAAACUUGUGGCUCGCUUCACUGAGUUGGAGAACAAACAGAUCCAGCUGAACCUUAACUUGGAGCUUGCUUAGGAGAACUUGCAGAAGGCGAGGGACGAAGCAAAAGGUAUGGCUGGUGAUCUUUUGUCAACUGUUCUUUCUUUCUAGCCGUCCUCGAUGUUGAUCUCACUUGCUGUUUCGUAGACAAAAUGGAGGAGGCUCUGAAGAAGAAGGAUCAAGACCUUGACGAAGCGCAGAAGGAGGCCCUGAACAAAACGAAGCUUGCUGAAGAAAAACUGGCUUCAGUCGGUACUCUUGAAAAGGAAAACUCCAGGCUGAAAACUGCUCUCGGCGCGGCUAAUCGAGAGGUCAGCCGUCUGAAGAAUGGCAAUAUAACUCUGAGUGACAAGGCAAGUGAGCUGGCGGGGAAGAGGAACGAUCUGGAGGCUUAUCUCGGUGGACUCGCCAAGAAGCUGUUCGUCAUGCUCGAGGGUAAUUAUUCUGGCCCGACUGACUUGCAGUUACCAAACCUGCAUAGAGCCACUGACUUAUCCUUGAAUUGUGUUUACAGAAUUCUGCCAGAACUUCAAAGAGGAGACCAGUCGAGUGGAGACAGACUUGGACCCCAUCAAUUCUCCAGUGAAGGACGAGGCUGCUAUGAACGUGCUCCGACUGGAAUCUCGUUUUGCCGGUGUUGUUGACUAUCUUGCUCGGUUGAAGGUUGUGAUGUCGCGGAUCGACACGUCCUCUGGCCUAGGACGACGCUUCAGAAUGACCUCGAGUCCCUGAUGACCCGACUGAAUGAAGUCCCAGGUCGAGUGGCGGAAUGGAAGAAAUCUUCUGCUAGAUGUGGCGCUGACGUCGCUCUGUCUCUGGUCCGCGUCCACUGCAAGGAGGCGCGAGAAGAAAAGUCGGCCGCCAUCCAAGUUGCCAAUACCAGGAAGCACAACUUUCAAGACUUCAUGGAGACUUUCAUUGCUGCUGCCAGUCGCAUUGCAGACGGGAUCGACUUGGACGAGUUCGUCGCCCCUUCCAGUCCUCCGUCUGAGGAAUAAAAACUUUUAUGCUUCACUUUAAAUUUGCCUCGGAAUGCCGAGUUGAUUUUGUAACUGUUAAACUCUGUCGAGCUGGAGGCUCGAGUACUUUGAUCUGCGGUCUAGGACCUUUGAAUCUUAUCUGAACUUGAUUUAUCGUUGAAUAUCUUCGUGAAUUUCCUGCUGAGUGAACCCAAUCUUUAUUCGAGAUAACUUUCUGUAUUCGCAGCGCAGCUCUGAAGGAGGGGGAAACAGUCGACCCAUGUCUUGUAUUUGUGGUGAAGCUCCCCAGGGAUGGGCGGCAGUCGACCCGCACCCUGUUACUGCAGAGUGGGACGGAGCGCACAUUGUAUUUAUGGCGAAGCUCUCCAGGAGAAGGUGGCAGUCGACCUGCCCUUCGUCGUCCUGGAGGAUCGAGAUGUGUUUGGGAGAACUUAGACGAGUACUGGACCGCAGCUAAGCCCCCGAGUGGGAGGGUUACUCUCCACUCGGUAGGAUUUUUUUCGAACUUAGGCGAGUGCUGGACUGCAGCUAAGUCUCUCAGUGAGAAAACUUAGGCGAGUACUGGACUGCAGCUAAGCCCCCGAGUGGGAGGAUUGCUCUCCACUCAGUAGGAUUUUUUUUGAACUUAGGUGAGUGUUGGACUGCAGCUAAGUCUCUCAGUGAGAAAACUUAGGCGAGUACUGGACUACAGCUAAGCCCCCGAGUGNNNNNNNNNNNNNNNNNNNNNNNNNNNNNNNNNNNNNNNNNNNNNNNNNNNNNNNNNNNNNNNNNNNNNNNNNNNNNNNNNNNNNNNNNNNNNNNNNNNNNNNNNNNNNNNNNNNNNNNNNNNNNNNNNNNNNNNNNNNNNNNNNNNNNNNNNNNNNNNNNNNNNNNNNNNNNNNNNNNNNNNNNNNNNNNNNNNNNNNNNNNNNNNNNNNNNNNNNNNNNNNNNNNNNNNNNNNNNNNNNNNNNNNNNNNNNNNNNNNNNNNNNNNNNNNNNNNNNNNNNNNNNNNNNNNNNNNNNNNNNNNNNNNNNNNNNNNNNNNNNNNNNNNNNNNNNNNNNNNNNNNNNNNNNNNNNNNNNNNNNNNNNNNNNNNNNNNNNNNNNNNNNNNNNNNNNNNNNNNNNNNNNNNNNNNNNNNNNNNNNNNNNNNNNNNNNNNNNNNNNNNNNNNNNNNNNNNNNNNNNNNNNNNNNNNNNNNNNNNNNNNNNNNNNNNNNNNNCCAAACUUAGGCGAGUGCCGGACUACAGCUAAGUCUCUCAGUGAGAGAACUUAGGCGAGUACUGGACCGCAGCUAAGCCCCCGAGUGGGAGGAUUGCUCUCCACUCGGUAGGAUUUUUCCAAACUUAGGCGAGUGCCGGACUGCAGCUAAGUCUCUCAGUGAGAGAACUUAGGCGAGUACUGGACCGCAGCUAAGCCCCCGAGUGGGAGGAUUGCUCUCCACUCGGUAGGAUUUUUUUAAACUUAGGCGAAACGGAUUCGCAGCUAAGCCUCCGAGUGGGAGGCCGGCUCGCCACUCUGUAGGAAACUGUUUUUACAAACUUAGGCGAAGCGGAUUCGCAGCUAAGCCACCCACUGGGGGAUUUCUUACAAAAAACAAUAAUAGUCGCUGGGAAAAUUAUAACGCUUUUGUCUUUGAUAAAUAAACUACAGGAGUUUUUCUUAUUUCAUCUCAUCCGAGUGAGAAUUUAGGUAUAAAAGGGGCGGAGAAGCUCCGCAUUCCAGGCUCGUGGCUCAUUGAUCUGGCGAUCGACAUUGUAAAGAUGAUACGCUCCAUUGUGGAUGACUUUGGUGACGAUGAAGGGGCCUUCCCAAGUAGGAGCGAGCUUGUGUGGUUUCUGUUGAUCCACUCGGAGGACCAAAUCUCCUUCUUGGAAGGCUCGACUCUUCACAUUUCUGGCAUGGAACCGACGCAAGUCUUGCUGAUAAAUGGUCGAUCGGAUCAUAGCCAUUUCUCUUUCUUCUUCCAGGAGGUCGACUGCGUCUUGCCGGGCUUGUUCUGCUUCAUCUUCGGUGUAAAGCUCGACUCGGGGUGCAUUCUGAAGUAGAUCACUCGGCAGGACUGCUUCCGCUCCGUAAACUAGAAAGAACGGGGUUCCUCCAGUCGACCUAUUCGGGGUGGUCCUCAAUCCCCAUAGAACCGACGGAAGCUCGUCGACCCAUGCACCUGCUGCGUGCUUGAGAUCACGCAUCAGCCGAGGUUUUAGUCCUUUGAGAAUCAGACCAUUUGCCCUUUCUGCUUGCCCAUUCGACUGGGGGUGGGUGACCGAUGCGUAGUUGACUCGUGCCUUGAGAGGCGCAAAAAGCUCUGAACUUGUCUGAAUCAAAGUUUGACCCAUUGUUAGUGAUGAUGCUAUGCGGGACCCCAUAUCUAUAUGUUAACUCCCUGACAAAACUGAUGGCAGUGCAAGCAUCAAGAUUCUUGAUAGGCUUGGCUUCAAUCCAUUUGUUAAACUUGUCGACUGCUACAAGCACAUGUGUGAAACCGCUCCUGCCUGUUCUCAAUGGACCAACCAUAUCCAACCCCCAAACAGCGAAGGGCCAGACGAGUGGAAUGGUCUUCAGGGCUGAUGCGGGUUUGUGCGACAUGUUGGAGUAGAACUGGCACCCUUCACACUUGUCGACUAUCUCUUUUGCCAUUUCAUUUGUUCUUGGCCAGUAAAAACCUGCUCGGUAUGCUUUAGCCACAAUGGUCCGAGAGGACGAAUGGUGACCACAGGUCCCCGAGUGGAUUUCAUCAAGGAUUAUCUGACCUUCUUCUGGUGUUAUACACUUCUGACCGACUCCAGUCGCGCUUUCUCUAUACAACUGUCCCUUUAUGACUGUGAAGGCCUUGGAUCGACGGACGAUCUGUCGAGCCUCUUCCUCGUCAUCCGGGAGUUCUUUCCUCAGGAUAUAUGCGAUGUACGGUAUUAUCCAGUCGGGGAUGAUUGCCAAGACUUCCAUGAUUAGGUUGACCACCGCUGGAAUUUCGACUCCAGUCGGAUCCGUGGCACUCUUUGGCUGCGGGACUUCAUCUGUAAAAGGAUCUUCUUGGACUGACGGCGAGUGGAUGUGUUCCAAAAACACAUUGCUGGGGAUGGCUUCUCUCUUGGAGCCUAUCUUUGCCAAAUCAUCAGCUGCUUGAUUUUUUAGUCGGGGGAUAUGAUGAAGCUCUAACCCCUCGAAUUUCUUCUCUAACUUUCUCACUACAUUACAAUAACCGGUCAUAGCUGGACUUCUGACGUCCCACUCCUUCAUCACCUGAUUAACCACCAAAUCUGAGUCGCCAUUAACCAUGAGGUGACGGACGCCGAGUGAAAUGGCCAUGCGCAGCCCAUACAAAAGUGCUUCAUAUUCUGCUUCAUUAUUGGAGGAAUCGAAGUGAAUCUGGAGAACAUAUCUGAGCUUAUCUCCUCGGGGGGAAACCAAUACUACCCCAACACCGGAACCAUUCAGCAUCUUAGAUCCAUCGAAGAACAUUGUCCAGUGCUCCGAGUGAACUUGAGUCGGAAGUUGCUGUUCAAUCCACUCGGCGACGAAAUCUGCAAUUGCUUGGGACUUGAUAGCUUUCUUUGCCUCAAACCUGAUAUCUAGGGGAAGGAGUUCAAUCGCCCAUUUGGCCACUCGACCAGUUGCGUCUCUGUUGUGCAAGAUCUCUGACAACGGAGCGUCGCUGACGACUGUAAUGGAAUGAUCAGAGAAGUAGUGGGCAACUUUCUUUGUAGUCAUGUAAAUCCCAUAUACGAGCUUCUGAUAAUGAGGGUAUCUUUGCUUCGAUGGGGUCAAGACUUCAGAAAUAUAAUAUACUGGGCGCUGAACUCUGAAGGCCUUUCCUUCUUCUUCCCGCUCGACCAUAAGUACUGUACUGACAACUUGUUCUGUGGCUGCAAUGUAAAGCAGUAAAGGCUCCUUGCUGAUUGGGGCAGCAAGCACCGGCUGGGUGGAGAGCAGAGCUUUGAGCUCUGCAAAUGCUGCAUCUUCUUCCGGAGUCCACUCGAACUUGUCAGACUUCUCCAUCAGUCGGUAAAGAGGCAAUGCCUUUUCACCGAGACGAGAGAUGAAUCGACUCAAAGCGGCCAAGAAACCUGUAAGCUUCUAAAUGUCAUGCACGCGCACAUGACGCUUCAUCCGGAGUAUAGUACCAAUUUUUUCAGGAUUGGCGUCGAUUCCCCGUUCGGAAACGAGAAAACCGAGUAGCUUUCUGCACGGAACUCCGAAUGUGCACUUUGACGGAUUGAGCUUGAUAUCAUACCUCCUGAGGUUGGCAAAGGUUUCAGCAAGGUCAGUCAGCAGGUCGGAACCCUUCCGUGACUUAACCACAAUAUCAUCCAUGUAUGCCUCCACAUUCCGAGUGAUUUGGGUGAGUAAACACUUCUGAAUCAUCCUCAUGAAUGUGGCUCCGGCAUUCUUGAGGCCGAAUGGCAUGGUAACAUAGCAGAAGCACCCGAAUGGGGUGAUGAAACCUGUUUUAAUCUCAUCAGGUCCAUACAGACGGAUCUGAUGGUACCCAGAAGAGGCGUCUAGAAAAGACAGUCGCUCACAUCCCGCAGUCGAGUCGAUUAUCUGGUCGAUGCGGGGGAGAGGAAAAUGAUCUUUCGGGCAGGCCCGAUUGAUAUGUUUAAAGUCAAUGCACAUGCGAAGUGACUUGUCCUUCUUGGAGACCAUGACAACAUUGGCGAGCCACUCGGAGUGGUAGAUUUCUCGGAUAAACUCCGCCGCUAAAAGCCGAGCUACCUCCUCGCCAAUAGCCUUUCUCUUCUGGACGGCGGACCAUCGGAGAUGUUCCUUGACAGGUUUUACUUUUGAGUUGACUCUUAGGCGGUGCUCAGCCAGCUCCCUGGGGACACCCGGCAUGUCAGAGGGCUUCCAUGCGAAGAUGUACCAGUUCUCACGGAGGAACUGGAUGAGCGCUUCUUCCUAUUUGGAGUCGAGCGUCGUUGAGACGUGAGUCGGAGCAGCAUUGGGAUCAGUCGGGUGAAUCUGAACUGGCUUCGUUUCGUCAGACGACUGAAAAGCUGAUUCUGAAGCAGGCUUCUUAGCUCGUAGUAAUUCACUCGGAUCAGCAGUCUUCUGGUAUUCUUGCAGCUCGACCACUUCCAUCUGAGCAUCAGCAAUCUUUGAGCCUUUCUGAAAACACUCUUCUGCUUUCUUCCGAUUGCCUAUAACGGUUAUCACACCUUUGGGACCAGGCAUCUUCAAGUUGAGAUACACAUAACACGGACGGGCCAUGAAGCGUGCAUAAGCCGGCCUGCCCAAAAUAGCGUGAUAGGCACUCUGGAAGUCCACAACUUCAAAUAUCAACUUCUCUUUCUGGUAAUUCUUGGAAUCACCAAAAACCACAUCAAGGGUAAUCUGGCCGAGUGAUUCAGCCUUCUUCCCAAGAAUGACCCCAUGGAAACUCAUGUUGCCGGUGCUGAGUCUGGACAUCGGAAUGCCCAUCCCUUUCAAUGUCUCUGCAUACAAUAUGUUCAAACCACUGCCACCAUCCAUCAGGACUUUGGUCAGUCGAGUGCCUUCAACCACUGGGUCGACCACCAGAGCUUGCCUCCCAGGGGUGGCAAUAUGCGUUGGGUGAUCGGACUGGUCGAACUUGAUGACAGUCUGAGACCAUUUCAGGUAACUCGGUGUCGCCGGAGUGACCAUAUUCACCUCUCGGUUAAUAACUUUCAAUCGACUUUUGCUCUCAACAUCAGCAAAAAUCAUCAAGGUGGAAUUGACUUGAGGGUAUCCAUCAUCACUGUCCUCUUUGUCUUCAACCUUGUCUGACUCCUUUUCCUUACCCUUGGGUUGCUUGCCUUGGAACUGCUGGAUCAAGAGUCGACACUGCCGAGUGGUAUGUUUCGGGUAAAUAAAAUUACCCUCUUCAUCUUUCUUCGUGUGGACGAGACACGGUAAAUCCAACACAUCAUUUCCGUCUUGAUCCUUAACCUUUUUGGGGUUCCAAGGCCCUUUAGGUUUUCCUUUAAACUUUCCCUGAGCUACAGCCAAGGCUUCCCCGGGAGCAGCUGGCUCGGCUUUCCGCUUCUGUUUCCGAUUGGAAUUCCCUCCGGUUUCUUGGGCGACUGACUUCAGCUUGCCGCUCCGGAGUCGAUCCUCAUCUUCACCAUUAGCAUACUUGGUGGCAAUCUCCAUCAUCCGAUUCAGGGACAUCUCUCCGGUUCGACCGAAUUUCAAACUCAGUUCUCUGUACUUGACACCCUCCUUGAAAGCACAAACUGCUUGGUGGUCAGGCACAUUCUCCACCGAGUGAUGCAACGUGAUCCACCUUUGGAUGUAAUCCCUCAAAGUUUCAUUUGGCUUCUGUACACAAGACCGCAGUUCUGUCAGCCCUGCCGGUUGUUUGCACGUGCCUUCGAAUGUGGUGACGAACACUCGGGAGAGAUCCUCCCAAGUGUAAAUGCUACUAGGCGCCAAAUAGUUCAGCCACGCUCUGGUCGAGCCCUCUAACAUGAGAGGCAGGUGCUUCAUGGCCACUUCAUCAUUGCCGCCGCCGAUCUGGACGGCCACUCGGUAAUCUUCCAGCCAAGUAUCGGGCUUUGACUCGCCAGUGAACUUACUGACUCCAGUCGCCAACCUGAAGUUGGGAGGAAUCACAGCGGCCCUGAUGGCUCGACUAAAGCACUCUGGCCCCGAUACAUGCACUCUGCUGCUGGUAGGAGCAUCUCUGUCGUGACCCUCUCGGUGAGCCCUGUUCCGGUCGACCAAACCUUGAAUGAGAAUGGAUCUCGCAUCAAAGCCUGGCCCUCUGGGGUCGACCGAAACCCUUCGCCCACCACUAUGAGUGCGCCUGUCAUCCUGCUGACGAGGCACAUACGACCCGCUCCUCGGGGGAGGCUUGGGCACUCGACGCCGACCGUCAUGACCGACUCGAUGUUCAUACUGCUCAUGGUUCCCAUACUGGUCACGCCGGUCUCCACGUCCCUCACGCCUCGGGGGCGAUCUCGGGCUGUGAGCCGACUGGACUGUGUCCAUGGCAACAGAUCUACUGUGAAUCCUGUUCCGUGACUGAGAAACAGCGGAAUUCUGAUCUCUUGCUGCCCGGAGCAACGCUCUGAUCUGCAGCAAGCCUCUACCAGCCUUCGACUGGGAAGGCUGAAUCGACUCCGCUACACGGGCUGCAGCUGCUAAAUUCUGAAUCGGAGUUCGAUAUACCUGCGGGGGCGGGAAGAGCUGACGUCGACUGGAUUCGGGAAUCCGUUGUCGCGCACGCUUGUCGAGUGCUCGUGGGAGGUUUUCCAGUCGAGUGCGCUCGGCCAGAUUCGCCAGGCGUGCGUCCUCCAAGGCGCGAGGCUCGGGGGUUUCUCCAAUGAUAGGAGUGUGCAGUGCAUCCAUGUUCCGGCGGCGAAGUUCUUCUCUUUGCAGUGACGUGAGAGGCUCGGGAAGAUACUCCUCAUGGGGACGUGACGGGUUGCCUCCACCCGCGCCUCCUUCGGCGCGGGGAAAACCGGGAGGACUAGGUGGUCCAUCGGCCAUCAGAACCUCCGCCGCCUAAUCGCUACUGUCGCACUCGGAUGUGGUCUCUGCGGGGCCAGUCGACAGAUCGAACAGGCCGUAGAGGGAUUCGUCGGGCUCGAUCGCCGCGACUUGAGGGGCGGCCGACUGACGUGCCACCGCGUGCCUCACCCGCCGCUGAAGUCUCGACCGACCGGAGCGCUUGUGCGAGCGGGAAACAGGGAGGGAGGACAGCACAGGAGCCGACCGGUAGGGGGUCGACAGUUGUCGUAGGAGAACGCCGCGGACGCACACGCUGAAGUGUGUUGCCCCGCGAGCAGGGAGUGCAUCCACAUCGAGCGGAGCCUCUCGGAGCCAAGCAGAGUCGUCGACGAUGAACGUGAGCGCGCCGAGACGGAUCUAGCGGCUCUCCACCAAAACUCCGCCGAAAACCAUGAUGAUUCGGGUCGGAAAAAAGCUGCAACUUCUCCAACAAACGCUAAAACACCAGCCCCAUGGUGGGCGCCAACUGUCGUGGUUCUAACUCUGACAGUGAUGUAGGGGGGUAUGUAUGGAGAGGCUAGAUCUCAGCUAUGGAGGAGUUGUAAGAACACACAAGGAUUACGAGUUCAGGCCCUUCUCGGAGGAAGUAAUAGCCCUACGUCUCGGUGCCCGGAGGCGGUCGACUGAAUUAUGUGUGUAUGAAUAACAGGGGUGCGAACCCCUGAUACUGAGGAGGGGGCUGGCUUAUAUAGAGUUGGCCAGCCCUCUCCAGCCCCCAGUAAUGCAGGGUUUUAAAGUACAUUAAGACUGGGGGGUUACUGGUAACGCCCUAAUAAAGUGCUAUGAUGACCAUAAAAGCUACUUAAUGACCAACCGUUUGCGUGCGGGGUGACUUUAGAUCUCCUGGCAGUCGAGUGGUUGGAUCUUGGUCGAGUGAUUGCUUCGUGGUCGAGUGUCUUGAAUCCGUCGAGUGGGAUACCUCCAAGUCGAUUGAAAGGUGACUUCUUCUAGGGAUGUCCUUGGGUAGGGUACUUAGGACAGGUCCAUGCCCCUACCCUAGGUACAUAGCUUCAUCAAGCCGUGCCUGCGGUUAUGGGCAGAUGGGAAUUUGUUAACGUUCGGUUGUAGAAAACCUGAAGUUGACCUUAAUUAAAAUACAUCAACCGCAUGUGUUACCGUGAUGGUCUCUUCUCGGCGGAGUCCGGGAAGUGAACACGGUGUUGGAGUUAUGCUUGACGUAGGUUGUUCUAGGAUCACUUCUUGAUCAUAGUUUUCUCGAUCGUGCUUUGCCUUCUCUUCUCGCUCUCAUUUGCGUAUGUUAGCCACCAUAUAUGCUAGUCGCUUGCUGCAGCUCCACCUCAUACCUUUUACCUUACCCAUAAGCUUAAAUAGUCUUGAUCGCGAGGGUGUGAGAUCGCUCAGUCCUUGUGACUCACAGAUACUUCCAAAACCAGCCUGUAGGUGCCGUUGAACCGUGCCGGUGACGCAACUGAGCUCAGGAGUAGCUCGUUGAAGACUUUGUCCGUUGUGUUGUUUCAUUCCAGUUGAUCAGUAGUGGAGCCCAGUUGGGGUCGAUCGGGGACCUUGUCGCAUUUGGGGUUCUUCUUUUAUUUUGGUUCCGUAGUCGGACCUUGAUUGUAUUUGGAUGAUGUAAUGCUUUAUUCAUGUAUUGUGUGAAGUGGCGAUUGUAAGCCAACUAUGUAUCUCUUUCCCUUAUGUAUUACAUGGGUUGUGUGAAGAUUACCUCACUUGCGACAUUGCUUUCAAUGCGGUUAUGCCUCUAAGUCGUGCUUCGACACAUGGGAGAUAUAGCCGCAUCGAGGGCGUGACAAGUUGGUAUCAGAGCCUUCCCCGACCUUAGGAACCCCAUUGCGUGAUCGAACUAGCAGCCGAGUUGAGUGUAGAAAAAUGUUUUGAGUCUUUUAGGAAUUAUAUAUCGGAGAGUUCAUGAAUUCUUUUUACUCCCCAGUCCCUUCAUCGCUCUAGUAAGGGAUCCUGACGUAGAGUUUUGACUCUUCUCUUCUCAAUUUUUCACAAAAAAUUUUUAGGAUCACGCGGGUAUCUUGGAAUCGUUCCGAUCGAUUUGUGACGAGAACAUUGUUCUUGGUGCCUCCUGUCAUUUAGGGGUUGUGGCAGUGUCCCGGGGAGUUGAGCUCCGAGGUGUUGUCAUCACAAUUUUAUCGUUGUAGUUUUGGAAUACCUGAGUUUAGUUCGCCGACAUCGAAAAUCUCUUUUAUGCAGUUGUUGGUGAGAUAACCUCGACGCCACCCAGUACUGGGGCAGGAGUUCGGGAGUAUUGCCAUAACUUGUAUAACAGAUACUUUUCGAAGGUUGAGGUAGAUGAUUUCCGAAGGUUUCUUGGUUAUGUGUUGAAGGAUGGAUACAGCUGGAUGUAGGAUUUGCUAGUUUUGGGUGAGAUAUUAUGCUUCCCCUGUAUCCCCAACACCUGAUUGCAUAUCCGGAAAGUUUCGGGAGUUUAUAAGUGGGAAUUCAAGUAGCUCUUAGAAUAUCUUUCCGACAGGUGUAUGAUAUGAAAUUGGGGUUUGACGUCUAGUGGUCCGCCUAUUGACGGUCGGAUUUACAGUGGUCUCAUUGUGUCUUAAAGAGUCCUUGGCUAUGCCGACUUGGGGAUGCUUCGUAUGUCAUGUGCACUGCCUUGUACAUGAUGGUGUUGUACGAUCGAGCCCGUGUAGGCCCCACCACGAAAAUUUCGGACGAAAUUUCGAUCAUAUGUUUGUUCUGGCUUAUUCCGCAAGCCAAUCCUUUGUUUUGUUUUGAGUUCUGGUAUUCGAGUUGCUUCGAAGUCAAAUGUUGAUUCCAUACCUUCUCUAAACGGUGUUCUCAUACUCCGAUGUGAAUACCAAUCCUUCUUGAUAAUUGAGAUUGACAUGUCAAUCCUUUUCAAUCGGUGUGUCUCUCGUCAAGUGGAUCCGAUCACUUCAACAUUCGCAAGAUCAAUUAUCAGUUUUUCUCUACAGUGUUUGUUUCAUCUGUCUCCAAGUUGCCUUUGUUUUUCCCGCCCACCCACCCUUUUUCCUCAAGGACUCGGAUUUCUUAAUCAAGUAUCCUUUUAUUCAUGAGAAUUCUCUCCAUUCUUUUUCCUUCAUGUUUUUACCCGGUGUUUCUCAUGAAGAUGCUCUACUCGUUCGUCAUUCUUCAUUCUUUUCAUCUCCGGUGGUUCCAAAUCAAGUUUUCGUUGUUGACCAUAUCCUUUUCCUCGUUUCAAAUAUCUUCUCGUGCCGGUGCACCUCAUUUGUCAUUCCAUUUCUCGCUAUUCAUUUGUUCCGGAGUGCUAAAGAUAUCUCAAGGCUCGUCUUGUCAUUCAAGAGCCGUUCAACUUAUUUCGAUGUUGUUAUCUCAUUCAAGCCGUUUAAUUCAACUGGUGCUAUCCCCUUUUCAAGCAAUCAUUUCAACGGUGUUUCUUUUUAGUGGGCCCUAACCCACAGGUCUUUUUUCAGGAUCUUACCUGACUCUUCUUAUUUUCCCGGAGCUACCAUCAAAUUCUUUUCGAAGUUUGACGUAAGAAUGAAUUGUCAUCAGUCAAAUGCCUUUCUCCAAGAUCUUUCAAAUUCUUUUUAUCGUUGGCUCAACUUUUCCAUCUUUUUAUUCCCGUGUGCCUCAAUAAUUCUUGGUGGUGUUUCUCGUUGUCAUUCUCCUCAUUUGAAGAUCAAAGAAGAUUUUUCUGUCAAUCUUGCUCUUUUCUCUUCAAGAUUCGUGGUUCUAGCUUGUUGCCAUCCUCUCAUAAUUAUUUUCGAUUGUGGGAAUUCUUUUCACCUAUCCGAAGUAAUUCAAGAGUCUUCUCAGUUUGUUAUCCAGAGUCCAUCAAUUCAGGUUUAUUCAUUCUCAACUGUCAGUUAUCAUUCUCCUAUCUUACCGGUGCAUCAGUCAAGUAUUCUCUAAUCAGUUCAUGAACUAUUCGUCCUCUUGUAUCUAAAUUCUCUCAAGUAUCUUCGUUCAUUUCAUAAUUCUUCCCGGUGUUUCUUUAUCUUUUCUGCGUUCAUUUUCAAUUCUUACGGUGGUUUGCUCACGAUGCUCUUCCGUUUCUAUGGUAUUAAUUUAUCCGUUGUCACAAUCCUACCGGUGUUUCGUUGAAGACCUUAUCAAGUUAUCGAUAUCUCUCUUAAGCCUUUCGACGAGAAUAAGUAGUAUGUCAAAUCCGUUGCUCGUCAUCAAUUUAAUUGGUGAAGGAUAAGCAUAAUGUAAUUCUUAUUCUUGUUUCAUCGAGUGAACUCAAUUCCCUAUUCCGGAGGCUCAUCAAAUUCUCGGUUUCACUUGAUUCAUCUUUCUUUUCCGGAGUUCCAAGCUCUUUCAAUUAUAUCAUUUCAAAGCUUCAUCUAAUCAUUGCAAGGCUUCAAUCUUAUUCUUUUCAUCCUACACUUCCUUUUGAUCAUUCUUUUAUUACCGGAGUUCUUCACGAAGGCUCAACAUGAUCUUUUGCAAGGAUACUUUUCAUUCUUCAAUUGUUCUUCAAGAUUUCUCUCGGAGCUAAGAUCUGCCAAGAUAUUACUCUAAAAUAAACAUGGUGCCCAACACAUGUUUUGUCUGAGGAGUUCAAGCCUUCUUCAUCUUGCAUUCUGAAGUGCAAUUCUUUCUACCGUAUCAUUUGAGGUGGUGCUAUGUCAUUCUUCAUAAUUUGAGUUCAUAUUUCAUGAUUCACAUGUUGUCAAGAAUGAGAUAUCUUAAAUCCAUCAAUCUCUUCAUUGGAGUUACCUUGGGUUAUAUUUCACCUAAAGCCUUCCGUAAGGAUGUUGCUAUUUAUGGUGCUUAUAAAUGACCCUAGUUCUUCAUUUAUCCUCCCGGUGAAAUGAGUUUCUCGUUUCCUUGUUGAUAUCAAUUCAAAUCCAUUGUUUUCUAUUAGUGGCAGAAUUUUCACCUCAUAGUUUUCAGAUGUUCUCCAUAAGACCACUACAAGCUUACUCUUUUUCAUUGUUGUUUUUACCAACAACUCCGUUUCGAACCUUCUCCUAAAGAUGUUUUUGCAAGAUCAUUUGAGGUAGAAGAUAUUGUUUUCUCCUCCAUUCAUUCCAUUUCGUCCUCUCAUUUCUUCCGGAGGCGUUGUGAUGUUGCUCUUUUCUCUCAUCAUCUCACAUGGUGUUCUUUUCGUGCUUACCCAUUUAACCGGAGUGUUGUGCCCCUUUGCUCAAAUCCUUUUCAUCCUAUCAAGUUUUGCAUCUCUUUUCAAUCGGAGUGCUUUCAACUUUGUUCUUCCUCGUUCCUCUUUCCUAAUGGAGUGCUUUCAACUUCGCUCAUCUCCGUUGUAUUUUUUUUCUUUUCUCGAAAUGGCUUAACCUUUUCAAGGUUCUUUGGUUUCACUCAUUUGUCAAAGAAGCAACUUAGCUUUACCUCUUCUCUUUCUCUUCCGUUUUUCCUUCCGGUGCCAUUCUAGAUCUCAGGACGAGAUCCUCUCGUAGUGGUGGAGUGUUGUAACACCCCGAGGCCGAUGUGCCAGGUGUCGUCCAGUUAUUCGCUGUUGUUGCCUCAUCAUUUGCUUGCGUGUCAUGCAUUUCAUAUCUUUGCAUCAUGUGCAUUGCAUCAUGUCAUAAAUCUUUUGCAUCUCAACUAAAUAAUUUGUGUGGAUCUUCGAUCCAUUUAAAUCGAGGGAAGAGUGACUUCUCUUUAUAACUUUAUCCUCCUAAUAUUUAGGGAGUUAUUAUAAAUAUUCCAUUAAUUUGGAAUCAUCGUAACACACGUGCAAAAUAAUUCCCAUGUCUAUUCCUCUUCGAUUUUGACCUUCAAACCUUGCAAAUAUCUCUCAUCUCUUUUCUCGAGGCUCCUCCUAAAACCUCAACAUUUUUGGACACCUCUUAUUCCUAGCCCUUGUUCAAACCAUUUGAAUUAAAUUCAAAUGAUUUUGAAUUAAAUCCUUGCGAUCAUGCCUCUCCUAUUUUUCUUGGAACCAGCGCAUUUUUGCGAGUUCGGGAAUAUUAUUUGCGUGCGCUAAUUCUUUCCCUAUCCCUCUCUUUCUUUUCGUCUCUCCAAUUCUUUUCUGUUAAAGGAAAUAUGAGAGAGAGAGAAGAGAGAUAGCACAGGCUGGCCCAACCUCCAGCGCAGGCCCAUUUGCCCCUCCAAGGCCCAGCCAUCCCACCUACACCUAACCCUAGCCCACACCCUUUGGACGAUCCUCUCUCCCCCCUUUGUUUCCUGCUUGCGCCGCCAUGAGAGGAUCGCUCGCACCCGACUCCCUCUCCCUCUCCAUUCGCUCGAUCUCCCCACCUCUCGCUCCCGUGUCCGAACCACCUGCGCCUCCCUCUCUCUCGCUCACGCCGACCCCUCCACUCCUUCUUCCAGCAAGGCCCCGCACCACUCGUCCCAAUUUUGGCCGAAGCUCGCCGGAGCCACAACACCGGCCGUCACCGGACCUCCUCCUCGGCUCCACCCUGCCGGCUCCCGGUGCCUCCGCCUCACCCACGAUACCCCACCGCCUACAGUGAACGUCGCCGGCCUCUCCUUCUUCCCCCCGUGCGCCUCCCUCUCCUGCAAGGACGCCCCUCGCCUUGCCGCAGCCGAGCUGCGCCACGGCGUCGACCGGUGCUGGCCUUGACCUCUUCACCUGUUGUCAAGCUCCUGGAGCUGCCGCUGCUCCCUGCAUCGCCGUGCCCUCAAGUGCAUCGUCUCCCGCAGCCGGUCCAGGAGCUCCUUCGCGCCUUGCUGCCGCUGUCCUUCUACAGCGCCGCCGUCCGUGUCCGCAAGAGGCCGUCGCUCGUCUCGCCCCUCUGCUGCCGGCGACCGAGGCCGCUGGGGCAUGCCCGCAGUCACCCAGCGCCGCCUUGCGCCGCUCCUCUUCCUCGCGUGACCCAAGGCCCCUUGUGCUGUUUUGUGUUGGACGUCAAGGCCACCAAGUUCGACUACGGGUAUUCGCCAAGUACCAUUCGGAUACCGCCAAUUUUGACUACCGCAUGGUUACGCCAAGUUCAUGUACGAAACGUGUACAUCUACUCCGUCAAGACCCGGACCGACAAGUACCCCAACGUCAUGUGUACAACGACCGUUGCCGAAGACCCGGAUAGCAAAACGUCAAGUACCUGUGACCGAAGAACGCCAUGUACCUCUCCGAAAAACGAACAUGUACCACUACGUCCGAAGACCUCGAAACCGUCAAGUCCGACAACGAUUGUGCACAACUACCGACGACGUGCAUGUUGCCAAGUACCCUAUCCGGAUCGUCAUGUUCCACUACCGUCGGCGAGAUCGCGAGAACCUCUACUGUCGACCCUAGAGCAUGCGAGAACGUCUACAUCCACUACUGCCGUCGCAAGAAUGUCUACUUCCCUCUACGAACGAGAACCGUCCCCUUCACACGCUUCAAAGGUAUAACCCCGAGACGAUCGUCCGAGAACGAAUGCUUGUGUCGUAUGAGAUGCACCCUUUGUCUGCACCGUGUCCGGAGUGUCUCUCGCUUCCAUGCCAUCGACUCGUGGGCACCCAGAAUCCGGGAGUGCCCCACCAUCUUUUGCAUGCAUCUGCACACUUCUCCUUUGCAUCGGUAUCUCAAUCGAGUUACCGGAACCGGAACGUUCCCGUGGCACCAUUUCCGUUAUCGUCGCCGUGGCACCCUUUCUUUCUGCCACGAUGACAAAUGCUCCAUAUUAUGCUUAUGUCAACUUUAAAUUAAAAUUGCAUAAACUUGUUCAUGCCAUCCGCAUCAUGAUAAGCACUUCAAGAAUGUUUAAAGUGUUGUUUGCAUUAAAUUACUAAUGCAUAUGGGGAUUUACCGGGUUUGUUGUUUGUUAUAUCCGACCCCAUUUAAAUUGUUUAGGUGGUAUAGUUUUCUUAUGUUUCACCUCUUGACAUGCUUAACAACAUUUAAUAUUGUUGGGUACAUAAACGAGAUCGAACUAAAUAACUUGAAUGUGGUGUUUCGUCAAUAUGUAACGGAGUUGCAUGUUGAGAUCCACUUAAUUUGUAGGAUUGUUUGUGCAUUUUGCCAUGCCAUGCUUCUUUAAACCGGACAUGCAUCCUACUUGGUUGUGCAUCAUGCCAUGUUGUUGUAGUGGUUGUUUACUAUGUUGUUUGCUUUCUUUCCGGUGUACUUCUUCUCGGUAAUCCGGUAACGUCGCGUUUGUGAGGAACCGUUUGACUACGUCCGUUUGUCUUCUUCAUGGACUCGUUCUUCUUCCUUGCGGGAUUUCAGGCAAGAUGACCAUACCCUCGAAAUCACUUCUAUCUUUGCUUGCUAGUUGCUCGCUCUUUUGCUAUGCCUAUGGUGCGAUACCUACCACUUGCUUGUCAUGCCUCCCAUAUUGUUGAACCAAGCCUCUAACCCACCUUGUCCUAGCAAACCGUUGUUUGGCUAUGUUACCGCUUUGCUCAGCCCCUCUUAUAGUGUUGUUAGUUGCAGGUGAAGAUUGAAGUUUGUUCCUUGUUGGAACAUGGAGAUGUUAUUCCUUGUUGGAACAUGUUUACUUGUUGGCAUAUCACAAUAUCUCUUAUCUAAUUAAUGCACCUAUAUACUUGGUAAAGGGUGGAAGGCUCGGCCUUAUGCCUGGUGUUUUGUUCCACUCUUGCCGCCCUAGUUUCCGUCAUAUCGGUGUUAUGUUCCCGGAUUUUGCGUUCCUUACGUGGUUGGGUAUAAUGGGAACCCCUUGACAGUUCGCCUUGAAUAAAACUCCUCCAGCAAGGCCCAACAUUGGUUUUACCAUUCGCCACCUAGACUUUUCUUUCCCUUGAGUCGGCCGGCUCAAGGGUCAUCUUUAUUUAAACCCCCGGGCCAGUGCUCCUCUGAGUGUUGGUCCACCUUGUCGGCCGCCGGUGGCCACCAGGGGCAACUCUGGGCUGGCCUACCGAAAGUUUGGACAAUCCGGUGUGCCCUGAGAACGAGAUAUGUGCAGCUCUAUCGGGAUUUGUCGGCACAUUCGGGUGGCUUUGCUGGUCUUGUUUUACCAUUGUCGAAAUGUCUUGUAACCGGGAUUCCGAGUCUGAUCGGGUCAUCCCGCUAGAAGGAAUAUCCUUCAUUGACCAUGAGAGCUUGUGAUGGGCUAUUUUGGGACACCCCUGCAGGGAUUUGAACUUUCAAAAGCCGUGCCCGCGGUUAUGGGCAGAUGGGACUUUGUUAACGUCCAGUUGUAGAAAACCUGAAGUUGACCUUAAUUAAAAUACAUCAACCGCGUGUGUUACCGUGAUGGUCUCUUCUCGGCGGAGUCCGGGAAGUGAACACGGUGUUGGAGUUAUGCUUGACGUAGGUUGUUCUAGGAUCACUUCUUGAUCAUAGUUUUCUCGAUCGUGCUUUGCCUUCUCUUCUCGCUCUCAUUUGCAUAUGUUAGCCACCAUAUAUGCUAGUCGCUUGCUGCAGCUCCACCUCAUACCUUUUACCUUACCCAUAAGCUUAAUUAGUCUUGAUCGCGAGGGUGUGAGAUUGCUGAGUCCUUGUGACUCACAGAUACUUCCAAAACCAGCCUGCAGGUGCCGUUGAACCGUGCCGGUGACGCAACUGAGCUCAGGAGUAGCUCGAUGAAGACUUUGUCCGUUGUGUUGUUUCAUUCCAGUUGAUCAGUAGUGGAGCCCAGUUGGGGUCGAUCGGGGACCUUGUUGCAUUUGGGGUUCUUCUUUUAUUUUGGUUCCAUAGUCGGACCUUGAUUGUAUUUGGAUGAUGUAAUGCUUUAUUCAUGUAUUGUGUGAAGUGGCGAUUGGGUUGUGUGAAGAUUACCUCACUUGCGACAUUGCUUUCAAUGCGGUUAUGCCUCUAAGUCGUGCUUCGACACGUGGGAGAUAUAGCCGCAUCGAGGGCGUGACAUGAGUCCACCAUACCUACCUAUAUACAGUAUCUACCUGCCAUUCCAAGUAAAUUUGUAUGUGCCAAACUCUAAACCUUCAAAUAAAUAUCCUAUUUUGUAUGCUCGAAUAGCUCAUGUAUCAACUAGGGCUGUCUGUAUCUUCUAUGUUAGGCAGGUUAUUCUCAAGAGGAGUGGACUCCGCUCCUCACUCACGAGAAAAAUGGUUGGUCACCGGGAUGCCCAGUCCCAUGCUUUAUGCAAAUCAAAUCAAAAUAAUUGCAAACAAAACUCCCCCUGGGACUCUUGUUAGUUGGAGGCACUCGUUGUUUCGAGCAAGCCAUGGAUUGAUGCUUGUUGGUGGUGGGGGGGGGGAGUACACACUUUACCAUUUUGUUUGGGAACCGCCUAUAAUGUGUGUAGCAUGGAAGAUAUUGUCAUCUCUUGGUUGUUAUGUUGACAAUGAAAGUAUACCUCUCAAAAUAUUAUUCACCUCUAUUUCAAAAUCGAGCUCUGGCACCUCUACAAAUUCCCUGCUUCCCUCUGCGAAGGGCCUAUCUAUUUACUUUCAUGCUGAGUCAUCAUCCUCUUAUUAAAAAGCACCAGUUGGAGAGCACCACUAUCAUUUGCAUUCAUUACUGUUAGUUUACAUUGAGUAUGACUUGACUGGAUCUCUUUUAUCAUGAAUUACAAUGUCUAGUCAGUCCUUUAUCUUUAAAGGUGCUCUGUAUUUAUGUUUUGCGGUCUCAGAAAGGGCUAGCGAGAUACCAUCUUGUUAUAUCAUAUUAUGAUUGUUUUGAGAAAGUGUUGUCCUCCGAGAUUAAUUAUUAUUGCUCGCUAGUUGAUUAUGCCAUUGAUAUAAGUAAACUUGAGACCUAAGCAUUAUUGUGAAUGUGGUUAGUCAUAAUCUUUGAUGAAAACUUGAAUGCUGGCUUUACAUAUUUACAACAACAAGAGCAAACAAAGUUUGUAAAAGUUUUUCUUUAUCACUUUCAGUUUAUCAACUGAAUUGCUUGAGGACAAGCAAGGGUUUAAGCUUGGGGGAGUUGAUACGUCUCCAUCGUAUCUACUUUUCCAAACACUUUUACCCUUGUUUUGGACUCUAACUUGCAUGAUUUGAAUGGAACUAACUCGGACUGGCACUGUUUUCAGCAGAAUUACCAUGGUGUUAUUUAUGUGCAGAAACAAAAGUUCUCGGAAUGACCUGAAACUUCACGGAACAACUUUUCGGAAAUAAUAAAAAAUCCUUGCAAAAGAUGAAGGCCAGGGGGGCCACCACCUGUCCACGAGGGUGGGGGGCGCGCCCCCCUACCUCGUAGGCCCCCUGGAGCUCCUCCGACCUCAACUCCAACUCUAUAUAUUUGGUUUCAGAGAGAAAAAAACCAGAGAGAAGGAUUCAUCGUGUUUUACGAUACGGAGCCGCCGCCAAGCCCUAAAACCUCCCGGGAAGGCUGACCUGGAGUCCGUUCGGGGCUCCGGAGAGGGGAAUCCGUCGCCAUCAUCAUCAACCAUCCUCCAUCACCAAUUUCAUGAUGCUCACCGCCGUGCAUGAUUAAUUCCAUCGUAGGCUUGUUGGACGGUGAUGGGUUGGAUGGGAUCUAUCAUGUAAUCGAGUUAGUUUUGUUAGGGUUUGAUCCCUAGUAUCCACUAUGUUCUGAGAUUGAUGUUGCUAUGACUUUGUUAUGCUUAAUGCUUGUCACUAGGGCCCGAGUGCCAUGAUUUCAGAUCUGAACCUAUUAUGUUUUCAUCAAUAUAUGAGAGUUCUUGAUCCUAUCUUGCAAGUCUAUAGUCACCUAUUAUGUGUUAUGAUCCACUAACCCCGAAGUGACAAUAAUCGGGAUACUUACCGGUGAUGACCGUAGUUUGAGGAGUUCAUGUAUUCACAAUGUGUUAAUGCUUUGGUCCGGUACUCUAUUAAAAGGAGGCCUUAAUAUCCCUUAGUUUCCAUUAGGACCCCGCUGCCACGGGAGGGUAGGACAAAAGAUGUCAUGCAAGUUCUUUUCCAUAUGCACGUAUGACUAUAUUCGGAAUACAUGCCUACAUUACAUUGAUGAACUGGAGCUAGUUCUGUGUCACCCUAUGUUAUGAUUGUUACAUGAUGAACCACAUCUGGCACAAUUCUCUAUCUCCAAUCCAUUGCCUACGAGCUUUCCAUAUAUUGUUCUUCGCUUAUUUACUUUUUCGUUGCUAUUGCUAUCAUCACUACAAAAUACCAAAAACAUUACUUUUGCUAUCAUUACCUUUUGCUACCGUUACCACUACUAUCAUAUUACUUUGCUACUAAACACUUUGCUGCAGAUACUAAGUUUCCAGGUGUGGUUGAAUUGACAACUCAGCUGCUAAUACUUGAGAAUAUUCUUUGGCUCCCCUUGUGUCGAAUCAAUAAAUUUGGGUUGAAUACUCUACCCUCGAAAACUGUUGUGACCCCCUAUACUUGUGGGUUAUCAGUCACAUCGGUGCAGAACCAUCCGGGAGCGAGCAUCCUUAACAGAGAAACCGAGAGCGUCAAACUCAAUAGUGACAGGAUUUUCACGAGUAAGAGUACGAACAGAACAGAGGUUUUUAAUUAAAGAUGGUGAAACGAGCACAUUAUUGAGGGUUAAAGAAGAAGAGGGUAACGGAAGGGAGGAUGAACCAUGAUGAGUGAUGGGAAGAGAGCUCCCAUCACCAACCAUGAUGCGCGAGGAGAAGGGAUAGGGGGAGGCAUGAGAUAAGAUACCGGGGUUAGAGGCCAUGUGAGCAGCGGCGCCGGUGUCCAUGUACCAAUCGCCGCCUCCGUUGUAGGUGCUCGGCGAGGGGGCAACAUGGAGGGCGGAGAGGAGCGCUGGGUCAUAGACAGGAGGAGCGCCACCAUAUGCACCAUAGCCUAGAGGGCCGCCGUACGCCGAGGGAACCAGCAUGGUCAACAGUGCUUGAGGACGAGUCGACCAUGGUCCGAGUAUACUCGGAGCCGGUGGGUGGGGAACGGGCAUAGAGUAGGCAUGCACGACGCCCGUGCAUGCGUUAUACCCCGAGAGCCAAGGCGGAGGAGGAGCAGCCGCGGCGGGUGCGCGGGGGGGAGGGGCGUUGUGUUGGAGUUGCGGCCCCGGCCCCCGCGACCCUUCUGCUUGCGGCCGCCAGAGGGUGCGGGCGCGGGUGGCGGGGCAGGAGCAGACGCGCGCGACCCCGACUGAGUUGGGGAAGCACCGUGGCCGGCGGCGAUGCCAACGUGAAGAGCGGCGUGGGUGGCCUGCCGGGCGGAGUGGCGGAGGCGCUUCUCCUUCAUACGAAGGUACGUGACCGCCUUCGCGUAUGUCGGCGUGACGAGGGAGAGGUUGGCGGCGGACUGGCCAAGGUCGGGGUGGAGGCGCCGAAGGAGGUUGGUGAGGAGGACGGAGUCAUCGAUGUUCAUGCCGACGUCGCGCAACUCGUCGGCGAGAACCUUCAGCCGCGUGCAAUACUCAUCGACCGAAAGAUCGUUUUGUUGCAUAGUGAAGAAUUCACCUUGGAGGAAGACACGGCGUUGGAGCUGAUUGUCGAGGAAGAGAUCGCACAGCCGUGUCCACAUGGCGUACGCCGAGGGGUCACGGGAGUUCACCAUGUUGAAGAGGCCUAGAGAGAUGGUGAGGAAGAGCCACUUGACGAUGCAGGCGUCCACGGCAAGCCACUUGUCGUCGUCCUUCAUCUCGCAGAAGUCGAUGCUCCUAUCAACGUGCUCGAUGAGACGGUAGGAGCGGAACAAAAGCGCGAAGUAGGUGCGCCAUGCGUUGUAGGACGGCGAGUCGAGGUCGAGGAUGACGGGCACAUGAUCCUUGAUGUGGAGCUCAUUGAGAAGAUCUGAGGUGAACAUGGCACCGGUAAAGGAGCCGGCGUCAGAGGGGUCGGCUUGGAGUGAGACAUGGUGGAGGAGGAGGGUAGUGCGGCUAGGGUUUUGGGAGGUGGUGGAGGGAGAAGAUGGCAGCGGCGGAAGGUGGCGGCUGCGUGGGAGGGGAAGAGAGGGCGGCGGCUGCGAGGAGAGGCAGCGGCAGGGUGUAGGGUUUGGGAGGGGAGGGAAGGGUGGCGGCUACAAGGGGAGGCAGCAGCGGGUUUAGGGUUUGGGGAGGGGUGCGGCGGCUGCUACGGGAGAGAAGCGGCGGCGGCGGGGUUGGGUGAGUUGUGAGGCGGCGGCUGCCGGAGACGCGCGGCGGCGUAGGGUUGAGGUGGCGCGGCGGCGACGGCUAUAGGGAGAAGCGGCGGCAGCGGCGGCGCAAGGCGGAAGCGAUGAAGAUCGUAGGGUAAACUGAUACCAUGUGGAAAGGUGUAGGAUGCAACUCAUUGUAUUCCAUGGAGUAGGUUACAAUAUAUACACAGGAUGUCUUGCGUGACAAGGAAACUAAUCCUACCAUAUCUCUAGAAGUCAGCUAUACAAGGCUAGAGAAGAUAGGAAUAUCAAUACAAGAUAUGUCACAUUCAACAACAUCUACCCGAAGAACUACUUUUGAAGGAUAUAUGGUACUCAAGAGAGAGAGGCAACAUUGAUUGCUUGGGAGAAAGCAUGUCAACCAAAGGAAAAUGGGGGAUUGGGCAUCUUGGAUAUUGAGACACACAAUCAAGCCCUACUUAUGAAACACAUUCAUAAAUUUCUCAAUAAGGUAGAUACCCCUUGGGUUAAGAUCUUUUGGGAAACUCCCUAUUCUAACUCCUCGCCUGGAGAUAGAAUGGUGGGAUCAUUCUGGUGGAAAUCAUUGCUUAAGCUCUUGCCCACAUAUAAGAGGUUUGCUACAUGCAAAGCUAAUUCAGGAAAUGCAACUCUUUUCUGGUCCAACUGCUAUCAACCUCUUGUUAACAAAUUUCCUGAGGUCAGUUCUUUCUCCAAUAACAAGACCAUUGCUCUCCAGCAAAUUCUCAGAACACAAGACCUUACAGAACACUUCCAUAAACCCAUGUCGCAGCAAGCAUUGCAUCAGUCCAACUUUCUGUAGACAUACCUACAGGAUAGAACUGAAGUGAACUCUAUAGAUGCAUGGGUAGUCAAGGGGACUACCAGAGGAUAUUCUUCCAUGAAGAUGUAUAAGCACAUGAUGGGAUUUAAGAAUGCUCACACUUUGUUCAGAGACAUAUGGAAAACCUCAUGUAAACUGAGACAUAAGAGAUUCUUUUAGUUGCUCCUUCAUGAUAGGGUUAAUACAAGAAACCUCCUUAAUCGAAAGAUUAUGCACUCGGACAACUAUAACUAUGCAAUCUGUGUGGAUAACAUGGAAGAAACCUUGUUGCACCUAUUCUAGAACUGCCCCUUUGCUCUUAAUUGCUGGGAUCAUAUUAUUCCAAAUAGAAACAGAGGAAUCUUAUUGUUUGAUGAAAUUCAACUUGCUCUGCUUCAUCUACCAUGGAAAAUUGCCUUGGACAUUGUGGUUAUGGAAUGAUGGGGUAUCUGGUCUACUAGAAAUGAUAAGAUCUUCAAGUCUGCUACUCCUCAUAUUCCUGGAUGGAUUCACUACUUGCAAGAUGGCCUAUGGGUCGCUCAGAUCAAAGCCAAGUCGGCUAAAGCUGAAAAGAUCAAAAUUUGGGUAGAAUAGAACUUAUAACUAUUUGAUGAUCAUGUUUCACAGAACUUACAUGGUUACAGUUGUUGUGUAGCAAAUACUUACAUUCCAAAACUCUGGCACAAGUCAGGGCACAACAGAUUGAUUCUUCUUUUGAAAUGGCUAAUGAGGACAAGUGCUUCCAUCUUCAACCAGAGCAAAUUCAUAGUUGGGAACGAAAAUAGUACUAGAUUUUGGCAAGAUACCUGGCCGGGAGAAUCACCAUUAAGUUUGCAGUAUCCUUUCCUUUACAACACUGCACAACAGAAAGAGGUAUUCGUUAGUACAGUGUUGGGUUAUGUUCCUCUCAAUAUUCAGUUUAGGCGUAUGCAGGUGGGGGAAUGAUAGGAUAGAUGGUUGCAUCUUAUGCAUAGGUUAAUGGAGAUUAACCUUUCUAAUAUGCGGAUUCUUUACUCUGAAAGUUAUCUGUGUUAGGUGUAUUCUUAGUUAAGUCCAUGUAUACAGACUUGGUAAACACCGGGCCUAUCCCGAGAUCGCUUCACAUUUAAAAAAUCAAGGUGUUGUUAAAAAUCAAGGUAUUUAUAUGGUUUGUGCAUAAGGGAGUAAUUUUGACAAAGUAUAACUUGGCAAAGUGUGGUUGAGAGGGUAGUAAACGGUGUUGCUUUUGUGAUCAGGGCGAAUCAAUACAACAUCUUUCUCUCCAAUACCCACUUGCCAAGUUAUUAUGGCGGACCAUUCAUGUGUUCUUUAAUGUAUCCCCCAACACUUUAUCAAGUUUAUUGGGGACUUGGUUAACUGGUGUAGAGCCUAAGGCGGCGGAACAUAUUCGAGUUGUAGUGUGCAUUACUUUGGGCUAUAUGGAAUUGUUGGAAUGAUGUUUCCUUUAAUAGACAAGCCAUCGCAAUUUUUUUGCAGGUUAUCUUCAGGGCGUCUGCUUGGAUCCGUACGUGGUCGUUACUUAGCCAUGCGGACCACAUGGAGCUUAUGGAUAUUGGUGCAAUCGGUGCGAGAUGGUCGCACGGGAUACUUACAACUAAUUUGGAUGACAGUCCAAUAAUAGAAUAAGUGUUGUUUCAUCUUACCCUAUUUUAGCCGAUUGUGGAAACUUUUUUAAGCGCUUCGUUGGUUUGUUUGAGACCUUGUUUUGAACCUGAAACUUUAUGCAAUAAAUGGUUGUGUGCAUCAUGUGAUGCAUAGACCAGGGGUCUUCCUCCUUUUCAAAAAAAAUGUUUCGUAGAACUGGUAUUGGUCGAUUGCUUUAACUGCUUUUGUAUUUGUAUAUAUGAUUUAUCAAUGAAAAUUACUGUAGAACAAUUGUUCUAUGGUUUGCGGUUAAAAAGAAAAGUCAAUUUUCAUAGUAGCAGCUCACUACACUUGGCCUAGUAGUUUGCCAGCUCUAAUGUAACUAAAUGCACAAUACAGUUGGAUCAAAAUGUCGUACAGACGAGCAUCUGCUAAACUACUUUUGUCUUUGCGUUACAGUUUGCAGUUGCUGGUGAGGACUGUUAGAGAAUGAGCAACUACUCUUUACUGAGGGCCAAAGGCCAUUACAUAUACAUGUGUGGUAAAGUGCAGGAAACCCCUUAUACAAUGGGGAUAUACCGAAAACAGACUAUACACAUCUAACACCCCCCCCCCCUCAAACUUAUGGUGGACCAACAACACUGAGUUUGGAGAGGAAAAAGCCAUGCUGCGCUCGAGUCUGUGCCUUCGUGAAGAAGUCAGCCAACUGUAACUCAGAGGGCACAUAGUGAAGGGCUAGAGUCUGAUCCUGCACAACAACGCGCACAAAGUGGGCAUCCACACCGAUGUGCUUGGUGAGCUCAUGCUUCACCGGGUCACGUGCAAUCUGAUAGCACCGGUACUGUCUGACAGUAAAGGAGUCGAGGUAGUGGCAGACACACCAAAAUCCUUAAGUAACCACCGUAACCAGAUCACCUCAGCCGUCAACAUAGCCAUGGCUCGCAACUCAGCCUAUGUACUCGAGCGAGAAACUGCAGUCUAUUUCUUUGUCUUCCAGGCAAUAAGAGAGCCCCCGAGAAAGACACAGUAAGCAAGCAGUGAGCGUCGAUUAGAGGGAUCACUAGCCCAGGUAGCAUCAGAUUAGGCCUGGAGCUCAAGAGAGCUGGAGCGGGAAAAGAAAAAAUGCUGAGAGAUCGUGCCACGAAGAUAUCAUAGAACACAGAGGAGGUGACUAUAGUGGACAGAGGUGGGAGCUGAGACAAACUGACUCAGGAUGUGGACAGGAUAGGAGAUGCCAGGACACAUAACAGCAAGAUAGACAAGGCUGCCAACGAGGUGACGAUAGCGAGUGGGAUUAGGAAGAGGUUCACCAUCAGAGGCAUGAAGCUGAACGUUGAGCUCCAUAGGAGUCACAACAGUGCGCUCAUCACCGAGGGCAGCACGAGCAAGAAGAUCCUGGAUAUAUUUUUCUUGGGAGAUGUAGAAGCCAUCAGAGGUCGAGGAGAUCUCAAUCCCAAGAAAAUAGCGAAGCGGACCAAGAUCAGUCAUGAGGAACUGGUCGUGAAGGCGAGUCUUAACAAAGGCAAUGUAGUCAGAGUCGUCACCAGUGAUGAUCAUGUCAUCUACAUAGAGAAGGAGAAGUGUCCGACCACGAGGAGACGUGUGAACAAACAGAGUGGGAUCAUGAUCACUAGGCAAGAAACCAGCGGCAGUUACCACAGAGGCAAAGCGCUCAAACCAGGCGCGAGGGGCCUGUUUAAGACCAUAGAGGGAGCGGCGAAGCCUACAGACCAUACCAUCAGGAGCAUAGUACCCCGGUGGUGGCUGCAUAUAAACCUCCUCACGCAACUCACCAUUAAGAAAAGCGUUCUGGACAUCAAGUUGAGAGAUAGACCAAUGACGAACAGAAGCCACAACAAGGAGAGUGCGGACAGUGGUCAUGUGGGCCACAGGAGCGAAUGUCUCAUCAUAAUCGCGGCCCUGCUCCUGCUGAAAACCACGGGACACAAGAUGAGCUUUGUAACGCUCAAGAGAACCAUCAGAGCGAGUCUUAAUCUUGUAGACCCACUUGCAAGUGAUGGGACAAACACCGGAAGGGAGGGAAACCAGAUCCCAUGUGACAGAGCGCUCAAGGGCCGCAAGCUCUUCGGCCAUCGCAAGCUGCCAUUCAGGCUGAGUCAUGGCAGUCCGAUAGGAAGUUGGCUCAGCAAUAAUAGAGAGACCAUACCGAUUAGGAGAAUAGCGAUCAGGCGGGGGGCGAGACCGAGUACGGAGGUUAUGAACCAGAGGAGGCGUGAGAAAAGGUGCACCAAAGGUGGAAGGCACGUCAGGCGAGUCAGGAGAAGCACAGUACGAGGACGAUGAGUAUAGUGGAGUGGAAAUGGUGAGAGAGGGCGACGGACUAGAGAUGAUGGUGGAGAGGUGGAGGAGGAGGAUGGGGAAUAUGCUGUCGGUGGAGAAUGAGUGUGAAUGAGAGGUGCAGGAUGAAGAGGUGGAACAUGAGGCACAUAGCGGGGUGUCUCGGGAAGAAGAAGAAAAGAAAUAUCGUCUACAGAGAAGCUCGAGGAAGAAGAAUGUGGGCAGUAAGAACGAGACUCGUCAAAAGUCACAUCACGCGAGAUGCGCAAGCGACGACCAACAUGAUCCCAACAAUGGUAGCCCUUGUGCUCAUCACUGUAGCCAAGAAAAACACACUCAACCGACUGAGCAGUCAGUUUGGUGCGUUCUCGAGGGGCAAGAAGGACAUAGCACACACAUCCAAACAUACGAAGAGCUGAGUAGUCAGGAGAACAACCAUGAGACACUCCAUAGGAAUACCACCCUGCAAAGCAGUCGAUGGCUGGAUGUUGAUGAGAUGGGUGGAGGCAGAAACAGCCUCAGCCCAAAAGUGGGGUGGAAGAGAAGCGACAAUUAUCAGUGCACGAGCCGUUUCAAGCAGAUGACGAUGCUUACGUUCGGCAACGCCAUUCUGAGCAUGAGCACCAGGACAUGAGAACCGGGCAAGAGUACCCUGUUCCGCAAGAAAACCAUGCAACAGCUGGGAGAUAAACUCGCCAGUAGAGUCAACACAAAAAGUACGAAUGUGCGUGGAAAACUGGGUGUGAACCAUGGCAGCAAACUGUUUGUAUAUAGAGAGAACCUCGCCACAAGAAUUCAUGAAGUAAAGCCAAGUGUAGCGAGAGAAAUCAUCAAUAAACAGAACAUAGUAGCGAUGACCACCUUUCGAAUCAAAGGGAGCAGAACCCCAAACAUCAGAAUGAACUAAGUCAAAAGGAUGCUGAGAUACCGACUCACUGGUGGGAUAAGGAAACUGGGUCUGUUUGCCAAGUCUGCAACCAUUACAAUGUAAAGAAACAUCUCCAGAUACAGACCCUAAAAGGCCCUGACGAACUAACAAAGACAAGCGAGAGCCACAUAUGUGACCAAGGCAAUGAUGCCACUGCUGGAAUGACGCAGAUGAAGAGGCAGCAAGAGCAUGGGAGCUGGCAGAAGUGGUGGCAGCGGAAGGAACACAAAGCCAGUCAACCUCCCAAAGACCCUCUGACUCACGGCGCCGGGGGCCAGCACCAACCAAAGCCUUGGUGCAAUGAUCCUGAAUAGAGCAAGAGUCGGUAUCAAGAAUGACACGACAACCAGAAUCAGUAAGUUGGGCAGCGUAAAAAGAUUCAUGCUAAGACGAGGGACAUGUGAAACACUCGGAACAGAGAAGGAUGGAGUGGAAAGAAUACCACGACUAGCAAUAGGAAGAGAAGUGCCACCGGCGGUAAGAACAUUAACAGGCGAAUCAAGAGGUCGAAGAGAAGACAAUGCGGAAGAAUCAGAAGACAUAUGAAAGGAAGCUCCAGAAUCAAGAACCCACGAAGAUGUACCUGACUGUGUAGGUGGCUGCAAUGGUGAUGAAGGGGAUGCAGUCACAGCAGCAGCAAAACCAGUCGACGAGGAGCUGGAGGAAGCAAGUAGACGCUUGAGGCAUACAAUGUCCUGAUCAGUGAGUGAUAGAGUCGAGGAAGACAUAGGAGUCCCGCCGGAAGGGGAGCGCCUCUGGUCUCGCUUCAUCUAGCGACAAUCAGACUCUGGGUGACCUGACCGGGAGCAGUAACCACAGAAGAUGUCACAGCGUGAAGUGCCCUUCUUAGCAUAAGAAGGACGGCUUACCCCCCUGGAGGAGUAGGCAGGAGCGGCGGAGCGGUGAGGCAAGCAGAUGACACAGGGGCUCGGGCGGCCAGCACUGACGGAACCAAAAGCAACCCAGCAGAGUGAAGGCGAGUCUCCUCAGCACGAAGCUCAGCAAAUACCUCCGAGAUAGGAACAUGAUCACGAGCAAGCAGGCGGGUACGUCGAGGCUCGAACUUAGAGUGAAGACGAGAUAAGAACUCAUGAACCCGCUGAAACCCCAAAUCCAACCGUGUAGUCUGACAGCAACGACAAGUUCCACAAACAACUGUCCGAAGAGAGUCAAGCUGACGCCAGAUGGCAGAGCACUGGGAGUAGAACUCAUCAACAGAGGAAUCACCUUGCUGGAGUGCAUGCUCCUGACGCACUACAUAUAGGUAGAGAGCAUCACCAUAGGGCUGAUAACGCUGACAGAGAUAAGACCACAUCGCGGCAACGGUACCAAGUCCCAUGAACUCCAAAGCAAACUAAGGGUGGACGCUCGUAGUGAGAACAGAAGCAGCUCGAGCAUCAUCAUUGCACCACUAAGUGUAAACAGACAGAUCAUCCCGAUAGGCAGAAAGAGCAUCAGUAUAGGCGGAUACCUACUAAUCAUAAGCGUCAACUUCAGCAUCACCAAGAGCCUUGGCUGCAUCCCGAUCAGCCUGGGAAGCCUCAGCAGCAAGAACUUGCGGUAUCGGCAGGGUAGGUGCAACGGGAGCAACAGGACAUGGCAGACAGGGGACCUCGCCAGAUAGAACACCCCAGAGUAGAAGACCUCGCAUAUGGAUACGUAUGAAACCCACAAACUCAGCAUAGUUGGUGUCAUCGAAGAUCACCGAGCACCGAGGAACGGUCACAUAGCCUGAAGAAGACACGAGGAGCCUCUUUUUUUUGAAGUCAACGGAUCCAGAAACUGGAUCGGGAUCGGGCAGGAGACCCACGCGCGCGAAGCAGAGGCCCCCGAUUCAAGAUCGGGCAGAGGGCACGCUCGCUCGAGCGGGCGGAAGCUGAGCCCCCGAGCGAAGCAGCCCAGCCGGGGAUUGACCUGGGGCGGCGGCGCCUGGAGCGGCGGCCAAGCGAGAGCUGGGAACCAGAGGAACGCGGCCCGCUCAAGUCUUCGCGCUGGCUGGGCGGGAGCGACAGAACCGGAGCAAGGAACUGGAGCGGCGCGACCGGACGGGAGUAGCACGGCCUUCGCGCUGACAGAGGAGGCCAGCAGGGGCAGGUGCAGCCACAGCGGCCUGAAUAGGAGCAGGCGGUGGCGGAUGGUGCAGUAGCAAGCGAGAGCGGCCGGAAAAAUCGGCCGGAAUCGAGCGGGAGUGGCCGGAGACGAGGUGGGCUAGGAAGGAGGAGCACGGAGUUGCAUCGUGUAAGAGAGCAAGGCUAACCUAGCAUCUGAUACCAUGUUAGAGAAUGAGCAACUACUCUUUACUGAGGGCCAAAAGCCAUUACAUAUACAUGUGUGGUAAAAUGUAGGAAACACCUUAUAUAAUGGGAAUAUACCGAAAACAGACUAUACACAUCUAACAAAGAUACAUCUAGAUUACCUUUGGAGUGGAGGCACUCCAUUUUGGAAAGGUCAGGUCUGGUUAUUUAAGCCUCGUUGCUUGCUUCAGGUGAUUGCACCGAGAAGGUAAACUAAUUGGAUUCAUAGUACGGAGUACUAGAGAAUAUUCUCUCCGUCCGGAAAUACUUGUCAUCAAAAUGAAUAAAAAGGGAUGUAUCUAGAUGUAUUUUAGUUCUAGAUACAUCUUUUUUGUCCAUUUUGAUGACAAGUAUUUUCGGACGGAGGGAGUACUAGUAUUGUUCUACAGCUGCAUCAUCUUUUUAUCAUUGCUACUACUUGUAUUGCAAAUCUGACCUUCCCGCACAGGCCGGUUUGUCUCGGCGUGUUUCUUGAUAAACAUCCUUGUUGGAUUAGUAGGUACUGUCGAAAGUAGAAACGUUGUUAAAUCAGGCCGUGCCUAUCCCAGUUUCAAAAAAAAAACGUUGUUAGCUUUUGAAAACCGAGGAAAACAUUGUUUACCAAGCUGUGAGCUCUCAUGCCUAUCUGCCUUUUGGACCGGCGAUGUCGAUGCCCACAACAUAAAGCUGAAGCAGAUAUUUAUGAGCUCCAUAUGCAGGACGAUUCGGACAUGCGGGCCUGAGAAAGAAAUUACUUGUUUUGUGAUCAUGGUCGGCCCCAAUAUGAUUCCCAAAGACUAGAGCUUUGGUUAUCCCAGUGGAUUAGUCUUAGCCUAGGAAAAUGACAGCCUGCUACUACGCAGACCAAUUGUCUCCAUCCAUUGGUGUUACACAUACACCGGAAAAUAUCUAGGGGGAGAAAUAGUUUAGAAGCAUAGGACGACCGAAUAGAUGCCGUCACCAAUGAUUUGAGUAACCAAAAAAGGAGUUGCCAUCUGGGCGGGCGCACAGGACUAGACUAAAAGAUACUCCUAGAUAUUUAGCGAAUGGAUGAACAGUACAUGACUGUGGCUUAUUGCUCGUCGGUGGCGUGGAAAGACAAGGGUCUAGCUAUCAACCGUCCUUCAUGCUCACGGACUAGUAUUUUCGGAGGAUUUCAGUUGAAGCAUUUGGCGUGGAAUUGUAUGUUCCCGUGGGCAGCGGCUUCUGGACCUCAGAGCAACUCCAACGGGGCGACCCAAACGGACGCGCGUUUUGUUCGCUUUUUGUUCGUUUGGGUCGGCCAGGCGGACGCCGGCGUCCGCAUUUUAAAAUGGGUCGGCUUGAUCGCCUAACGGGGAGGCCGACCUAAAUGUGGCGGCGUGAAAAAAAAACAAGUUGCAUGAAAUAAACAUAAUUGAACAUAAAAGUGGUCGAUCAAACGCCGGCCAAAGUCCACCUACAUCUAAUAAACAUUAAAUAAAAACAUUAAAAAAAUAUGCGCCCGCCUGCUGCCGCCCCGCACGCUGUCCUAGACGUCGUCGGCCUUGCCUUUGCCCUUGACGUCGCCGUCGUCGGUGAGGUCGAUGAAGACCGGAGCAGGGCCAGCCCACCCGAACGCCGCCUGGUACGCUGCCAGGGCAGCCUCCUCCGGCGUCUGCUGGGGCGGCGGCAUUGCGGCAAGCCGCGCGCGCUCCUCCUCCUCCUCCUCCUCGAGCCGGAGCGCCUCCGCGUCGCGUUGGAGCAUGGCCUCGUAGCGCAUCUGCUCCUCGCCGUCGCCCUGCUCCUGGUGGAGCCAGUGCUCCUUCCAUCACUCGAGGUGGGCCGCCUCUUCCUCCGGCGUCGCGGCGAAGUAGACGGGAGGCGCACUCACCCACUCGCGGUACUGGCCGUCCACGAGUAGGCCUCCUCUGGCCAAGUGGGUGGAGGUGGGGAGCGCUUAGGCUCCGGCUCCGGCUUGGGUUGUACGGGCGGCGACGACGGAGGGGGCGGCAUGAAGAGCGGGGUGUGGACGGAGUCCCCCGCCGCCGACAGGGCAAGGGCUUGUUCCAGCCCAUCCCAGUGCUCGUCCUCCUCGAUGCGGCUAGCCUCCAGCGCAUGCUGCAGGGCCUCCUCGAGGGCGGCUUGGUACUCCGCGUCCGCCUCUAUGUCCUCCGGCUCUACUGCGGGGGUGGCGGUGGGAACGGCGGCGGGACAACGUCGACACCCGAGCGCCGUUGCUCCUCGUGUUCGAGGGUGAACCAAGCCUCCCAGUUAGGAGAGUCAGCGGCGUACUCGGGCAGCCGACGCUGCUCCGAUGUGAGCAGCGCGCGGCGCCGGCGCACCUCAUCGUCGUGCGCCCGCUGGGUCCGUGGAACCGCCGGCACCGGGAUCCGGUUUGGAUCCAAAUGCCAAUGGUGCGGCAGCGUCACGUCGGGGUAGGGGAGGGGCUGCCUGUACUCCCAGUGCCACCGCACUUGGUGCACCGGGAUGUGCAGGCGCCGGCAUCCAGGGCGGAAACGCGCCGGCGAUGGAGGGGGAGGGGGAGGGGGAGCACGGGAUGACGAGGCGCCGUGGGUGCCCUUCCCCUUGCCAUUGCUUUUGCCGAAGAGGCCCAUGGAGCGCGCUAGGGUUUGCGGUCGUCGGCGAGGAAGCAAAGGAAGUGGUGGGGGGCCAGAUAUGGACGGGAGAAGUGGAUGAGGCUGACCCCGCCGCACGCGUGGUUAAAAAAGGACGCGCGCAUUGGCUGACGCGUGGGCCCGCUAUCGGUGGUCGUCAUAAAUAAGACAAUCGGUGGCGGUUGGGUGGCCACCAGGUGGGGACGCGACGGACGGUGAGGAGACGCGCGGCGCGUCUGCUUCGCGUCCGCGCCGACGCAUUCCAGGCGUAAUUUUGGGCCGAAAAUGGGUCGUCGCGGACGCCGGGCGGACACGAUUUAAGUUUGGGUCGACGCGUUGGGCCGCCACUUUUGUUCGCACCAAUCCAAACAGAUGCGGGCGGACGAAAUGGGUCGUCCCAUUGGAGUUACUCUCACAAGAGCCCCUUUGAGCAAUCCAACACCCUGUCUCCGUCUCCGUCCCCGUCCACGUCUGUUUGGAUUGCUCAAAGGGGCCGCUCGGUUUGAACAACGCGUCAGUAGCCCGUCGAAGGGGAAUCCGAUGAAUAACAAGCUUGUUCCUAAUUGUCCAGAGCGUCCAGGCCAGGGCCCCUAUCACCAGCCACCUAAUGUGGCGGUGAGUAGGAGGCGAGGCCUGAAUUUCGGCGAAGAGGUUCCGGAAGUUGGUGUGGCACCAAUUUCCACCGAACGUCUCGUUUGCACAGCUCCACAGGAAUUGGGCCGAGACACAGGAGAAGAAAAUAUGGUUCGAGUCCUCAGGUGUUCCACACAAGGGGCAAAGCCCAUCGUCAGGGCCAUUGCGCUUACGCACCUCCACAUCGGACGGGAGGCGGCCCCAGAUUCAUUGCCACAAGAAGAUGCGGAUCUUUAGGGGUAUAUGGAUAGUCCAGAUCACCUCGAAGGGGGGUGGGGCGGGGGUUGCCACAAUGGUGCGGUAUAGGGACCGCGUGGAGAAACGGCCCGAGGCCUCAAGGCGCCAGGACACACGGUCGGGCUCAGGCGAGAGGGCCAGCUCAUGGAGGGCCACAACGUCAAGGAGAUCGUGCCAGGAAGCUAGUUCCACGGCCCCAAAAGGGCGGCGAAAGGCGAGACGCCCUAAGUCAAGAAGGGCCAUCUCGACCGAGACUCGAGGGUCAACGAUAAUGGAGAAUAGAUCCGGGAAGUGGGCCGCGAAAGGGACAUCGCUGACCCAACGGUCGAACCAGAAGAGGGUGGCCUCGCCCGUGCCAACCGAAAUGGAGGUACCAAUGCGCAGGACAGGCAAGAGCUGAAUGACAGAUUGCCAAAACUGUGAGCCGCCGGACCGUUGACAGAACGUAAGGGGCCGGCCGCCGAGGUAUUUAUUCUCGAUUAUUUGUAGCCAAAGGCCGCCAUCUCCAUUGGCGAUGCACCAAAGCCAGUGUGUCAAGAGGGCAACGCUUAUCCGCUUGGAUGACACGAUGCCCAGGCCACCCUGGUCCUUGGGCUUGCAGAUUUUAGACCACCGCACCAUGUGGUAUUUCUGCUUGUCUCCGUCACCCGCCCAAAAGAAGCGGGCUUGGAUCGUACCGAUCUCAUGGUGCAGUGUCUCAGGCAGACUAUAGAAGCUCAUGAUGAAGAGCAGGAGACUGGUCAGGGAGGAGUUGAUCAGGAUGGUGUGCGCCGCCUUAGAAAGCCACCGGCCCUGCCACGGCUCAAUGCGGAGGCUGAGUUUGCCCACAGAAGGGUGCAAGUCAGCGACCGUGAGGCGGGAGUCACUAAUGGGGAUCCCCGGGUAAGAGGUGGGGAAGGAGCCAAGCCGACAGUUAAGGUAGUUGGCUAUCCCUUGGGACUCAUCCGGAGAAUAUCCCAAAACCAUCACUUUGCUCUUAACAAAGCUAAUCUUGAGCCCCGAUAGCUCCUGGAAGCAGAGGAGGUGGAAUUUGACAUUCGUGAUGUCGCUACUAGAGCUCUCCACCAUAAUGAUGGUGUCAUCAGCGUACUGGAGGAGGGACACGCUGUUUCCGCCCACCAAGUGGGGGACAGUCCCUCGAAUGUGUCCGACCACCUUGGCUUUAUCCAGAAUAGCAGCCAAAGCAUCAACCACCAUGUUAAAUAGGAACGGGGAGAAGGGGUCACCUUGUCUUACCCCACAGAAGGUGGGGAAGUAGGGACCUAUCUCGUCGUUGAUAUUAGCCGGGGUCUGACCCGAGGACACCAUCUGUAUGACCCUGGUUACCCAGCGGUCGUCAAACCCCUUCCACAGCAGGACUUCCCGAAGGAAGGGCCAGCUCACCGUAUCAUAGGAUUUGUGGAAGUCAAUCUUCAGGAAAACGGCUUGGAGACCUCUAGAGCGGACCUCAUGCAACACCUCGUGGAGGACCAAGACGCCAUCCAGGAUGAAGCGACCCUGGAUGAAGGCAGACUGGUCCAGGUGGGUGAUGCGGUCGGCCAACGGGGUCACCCUAUUGGCGUACCCCUUGGCCAAGAUGAGAAAGAUCACAUUAAUCACCGUGAUGGGCUGAAACUGUCGGAUAUCCGUAGCCCCAGGAACCUUGGGGAUAAGGGAGAUGAUCCUGAAGUUAAGGUGCCGGAGAUCAAUGGAUCCAACAUAGAAUUCCUCGAAGAGGGCCAUGAUCUCAGGCUUGACUACAUUCCAGAAAGUCUGGAAGAACUUGACCAGGAGAAAGAUAUUACUUAGUCGACCGUGACCUUGGACGCUUUCCCCUCUCCCGCUACAGUAAAGGCGAAUUUCUGAACCCGCUCGGCAUCUUUGGCGGUGGAGCUUGGUGUAGCUUCAUGGCGUCCGCCUUCCUCGCCCUCGCGGUCCCUGGUGGCCGCCGUGUGCGUUUAUCCCCGCACUGGAGCUCGACGCGGCGGCUCCAGAUUGAGAUCUUGAAGCAAGUGGUGUUCAAGCAAGGCAGCGUUGCGACCGGAGGAGCGGGAUGGACGCUCUCCGGAGUUCGAGGAUCGACGACUUCCCGUCCGCCAGGGGACAUUUUCUGAUCCAAGGCUCGUGUGAAGAUACGGCAGCGGCGCACUAUCAGAACUGCUGUUCCUCGUCAGUGGUUCCACUUUAAGGGGGACUUGGUUGUAAUUUGUAUCUUUGUGGAGGUCCUUUCUGUAAAAUCCUUGCUUUAAUAUAUCAGUGGUUUCCCACAAAAAAAGGAGGAGACAGAGUUUGUUACAACACACAACCAAGAAUUGGCAUGACAAUUAUUCUCGCAAGAAACUUUGAAAAGGUUAGUGCUGAGACCCGUAUAUUUUUUUCUCGAGAGCUACUCGUUCAUUUUACCACGAAAUUUUGCCGCCACUUAGCGCUCCGAGCACUUUAGAUGCCGAAAAAUUUCAAAUUUUACUUUUGGCUUUUUGAUGGAUUUACUAUUCAUUGGGAGCAUAUGAGCUUGGGCUUAGUCGUGAAUUACCGUUUUUCAUUUGUUAUCUAUAUGAAAGGCCAGUGCUCUUACCCUACUCCGAAAAAAAUAAUACUUAGGGCAUCUCUAACCGAUCCCUCAAAAUUUAGGCCCUCAAGAGCCUCCUUACCUUAACUCCUCAUAUUUGAGGAUCUAAAAAAAUAUAUGUUUCCUAGCCCAAAUCUUAAAUUUAACUCCUCAAUCUUUUUUCACAUAACUUUAUUCAAACAAAGAUUAAAAACAGUCCAUUCAAACAUACAUUUCGAUUCAAACUGCACUUAAUGACAUGAAAUUUCAACUACAUUGGAUAAACUACUUAAUUUAAAAAGAAAUAAAAAAAUCCUCCUCUUUCAUGAGCGUCUCCCAAUCCACGUUAUCGUCGUAGUGGUCGCCGGACCCGGAGCUGGAGUCGCCGGAGCAAAGGUCAAUGACCUCACCACAUGACGGCCCAGCCUCGUUGGUAGCCCCUUCUUGUACAUCUCGAGCAACCGGCGCUCCUCGCCAACGAGCUCCGGAUGCAUCAGGCGGAGCUUGGUGAUGUACUCCUCAUCAAGGCGCGCCAUCUCAAGCCGCUCAAAGGCCUCCCGGUUCUCCCAUACCUCGCGGCAGGAGACCACUCGAGGGUCGAUGUCUAUGAACGGUAGGACCGCGCGGUUGCCAAAUGGGAAAUUCAUGUUCUCACUGCCUUCAUGUCGUACCCCCUAGCGACAAGUCCUGCCCACUCGAAGGAGCCAAGCCAGUACCAGUGGCUAGUGUCCCGGUCCAGUAUACUUCCUCUUAGGCGGCGGUGGCGGCAGGUUGGUGAAGGAGUGGGAGUUGUCGCCGGCGCGAACUCGGGUUGGCUGCACGCCAUGGCAUGGAUCCACGGUUCGAAUCGGCAACAGCGACCUCCGACGAUGAGAUCCUGCCGUUUAGGGGCGGCGCCGACCAAUUGGAAGCAUCAGUGGGGGUGGUUGCGGUGAGGGCGGGCCGGAGGGUGGGGGUGGGUGGGUGGGGAGGAGUUGCGGGGUGGAUAUGGGCGGCGUCGGAGUGGAUGUGGUCAAGGCGGAAAGAGGUGGCUGCUGGGAGGAGAUUUUUUCCUAAGAAGUGGGGUCGGUCAAGUAAAUAUAAGCGGCGGCCGAUGAGAAGAGUAAAGGUUUUUAGGGGCUAAUAUCGAUAAGAAAUCGGCCACGUCCGGUUCAAGCCCCCAAAACCAAAUCUUUACUUCUCUAACUGAUUUUGAAGGAUUGGCCAGAGAUGCCCUUAAUUUCCUUCUAGACAUGUGGUCAUGCCAUUGUAAUUAAAGCAGAUAGCCGACGUAAAUGCUAGAAAUGUUUACAUGUAAAAGAACAAGGAUUUACAUGUAAAAGGACUAUAUAAUUUGCACGCUCUCAAUACCAAAAUAUCAACUGAACAUAUUUGUAUCGAAAUGGAAAUUUCAUCUGAUACAAUCAAUAUUUAGAAUAUGGAGAGCCUAUUUCCCAGUACAAAUGUUUGUACGAAAAAUUUGAGAGCCCGUGGAAAACCGGAGCCUCGCAAUCGCCUAGUGGCGAGGUUGAUCAUCACAUCGGGGCCCGAGGAAGCGUCCAAUAUAGAGCCAGUGCAAAUCCUUGUUCUUUCCAUUUCGAAUGAGACUUGUGAUGCAAGGCGACUAAACAAAGUAUUUUUGACCCGCUAAGAACGCAAAACAAUACGAGUAGUAAAUAUUGACGAACUAGCCCCUGCUGGGACCCUUGUUCAGCGGGUGCAAAGUCGGCACCCUUUCGGGAAUCGGAGAAAGAUCCCACCGUGGAGCGCCUAUAAAUACCUCCUAGCGUGGUAUUUGCGCAUCCAAUACUAUUUCUUCCUCCCCACUCUCCCACUACCGCCGCUCAUCUUCGAUUCUUCUCAGAACCUUCCUGCAAGACUUUGUUUCAUGGCUUUUCUACCGGCGCGGUUCUAAUCUCCUCUGCGUCUAUAGAAUUCCAGUCUGGAUCAAGUAUGUUUCUAGCUUUCUACCGCAUAAUAUGUUUGCCUUUAAUAUAUGCUUUAUGAUUUUAAUCUCGGUUUACGAUUUUGGUAUGUUCCAAUCUCUCAAGAGGUUAGGAGCAGCAAGGAUUUGAAACUUUGACGUGUAUCUUGUAGAAACCUCAGCGUUUUAAUUGCAUCUUUCCUUGGCUCUCCGUACCCAUAAUACUAGUGAUUGCACAACCGCCGAAGUACUCUUUUGAAUUCCGUUGAUUCGGAUCUGUUAUUUUUCGUAGAUAUGCAUGCAUAGCUUUGUCUGUUGUUCCGCUAAAUAUCUGAACGAUUUGUUUGGUCGGUACUGUACAAAUUGUUGAGUUUUUUUUGUCUGCAAGCGUUUGGAGCUUUUCAGAUAUUUUUCUGUUCGUUUGCAAUUGUACGUACUAGAUGACUGUGGCAUGAACGGGACCCAGUAACUAGAUCAUUUUCUUUUGCCAUAUGUUCUAGAACAAAUAGUUUUCUCUUCUAGAACAAGGAUGUGAUGUUCACAGAUCAUGUUCCAUAUCAUGCAGCUCUCUCUGCCUUGAUAUGUUUGUUCAAGGCAACGAGAAACACACACAUCUGGAUAGUUCAGACCAAAAGAUGAAUGAAAAUAAUCAUAGUUCAUAAGACUAUUUUCAACAGACGCUCAAAAAAAGCUCUGCACACUAAAAGUUUGUUUUUUUGGCACGGAACAGCUCCAGCAGACGCCGUAGCGCUAAAAGAUUUAGAGCGCGCGCUGAAAAACGCUAUCGCGCGCAGCAUAUUUUGGACUCCGGAUUGCGCGCGCUUCAUAAUUUGUGCACCUGCUAAAGCAAUGUUGGUCCCGGCGCAUUAAAAAUACUACAAUGGGGCGCUAAAACUUUUAUUGGGCGCGAAAUUUUUGUGCGGCCGUUGGAGAUGCUCUAAGAAAUCUAAUCUAUGCAACAAGAUUGCUAGUGCUUGCCCUUAUUUUUCUUUUCUUUUUCUUUAAGAGGCAAGAAUUCGCUUUUUGGAUUCUUCUGGAAAAUAAUAAAUACCAUUCAUAUGCAUAAAAACUGGAAAGUUUGCCUCGUUCAAGUGUUUUUUUUUCUUUAUAUUAAAAACAAUUAUAAACUAUUUAGUAGCUACGUACCUAAUCAUUCAUGUAUUUCCUCGCAGUAUUAGGCUUUCAGUGCGAAGGAAAAUAUCUCCUUCACAGGAAUGCCGGAAGAUGUGCAUGCGUGCUAGAGGGCUACCUUGGUUGGGAACUGGCAGUCUAGCUUUUGAAGAUACUGAAAUACAACAGUUGCUCCAUGGGCAUACGCAGGAUGAUCCAUGGACCACCUACCAUCUUGGUGAAGAUGGUUGAAACGAAUUGAUCAUCUGCAGGUCUUGUCCACAUCAUUGAGUGCCCCUGAUCAGUUCUGAUCACCUCAAGUUACAACAUCACUGCCUUUUGUGUACAUAAGAUCUGGCCAGGAUGGCAGAGAAGAAGGGAAAUAUCUUGAUGGAGAGAUAUGAGAUGGGAAGACUGCUGGGGCAAGGGAGCUUUGCUAAAGUUUACUAUGGUCGUAAUCUCAAGACUUCACAGAGCGUUGCCAUCAAGGUGAUUGACAAAGAGAAGAUAUUCAAGUGCGGGCUUAUGGAUCAAGUAAGGCGAGAGAUAUCUGUAAUGAAGUUGGUGAAACAUCCAAACAUUGUCCAAUUGUAUGAGGUGAUGGCCACCAAAACCAAGAUAUUUUUUGUGCUGGAGUAUGUGAAGGGGGGCGAGCUGUUCAACAAGGUCCAACGAGGAAGGCUGAAAGAAGAUGUUGCUCGCAAGUACUUCCAACAGCUCAAUAGUGCAGUUGACUUCUGCCACAGCCGAGGCGUCUAUCACCGUGAUUUGAAGCCUGAAAAUCUUCUUCUUGAUGAGAACCGCAAUUUAAAGAUCUCUGACUUUGGUUUGAGUGCACUUGCAGAAUGCAAGAGACAAGAUGGGCUGCUUCACACAACUUGUGGUACCCCUGCAUAUGUUGCUCCGGAACUGAUUAGUAAGAAAGGAUAUGAUGGUGCAAAAGCUGACAUCUGGGCUUGUGGAGUCAUCUUGUAUGUAUUGUUGGCUGGUUAUCUCCCUUUUCAGGACAAGAAUUUGAUGGACAUGUAUAAGAAGAUUUACAAAGCAGAGCUCAAAUGGCCAAGCUGGUUUUCUUCAGAUGCCCGGAGGCUUCUGAGACGUAUUCUUGAUCCGAACCCUGGUACACGGAUCUCCUUUUCAGAGAUCUUGGAAAAUUCUUGGUUCCGGACAGGCCUUGACAAGGGACUGAUUACCUAUAACACACGAACGGAGGGCAUUGUUGCUGUUGACAUGGAUCCGACUUGUGAUCCGUUCAGUAGCUGUACGACCGAGACAAUACAAGAAGCAACAGAGCUCACUAACUUGAAUGCUUUUGACAUCAUUUCUCUUUCUUCUGGGUUUGAUCUCUCUGGCAUGUUUGAGGAUAAGUCCAACAAAGAGUCAAAAUUCACAUCUACCAACACAGCUGCAACAAUCAUCACAAAGCUUGAAGACAUUGCAAAGCGCUUGCGGCUAAGACUCAUUAAGAGAGACGGUGGGUUGUUGAAGAUGCAGAGCUCGCAACCAGGAAGGAAAGGCGUAAUGUCCAUAGAUACCGAGAUAUUUCAGAUUGCACCAAAUUUUCAUCUGGUGGAAAUCAGGAAGACCAAUGGUGAUACUCUCGAGUAUCAGAAGGUUGAACAUGAUAUGAGACCGGCUUUGAAAGACAUUGUUUGGGCUUGGAAAGGUGAGCAGCCCUAGUAAUAGUGUGACUACUGAGUAAGCGUAGAAAUUGCAAGAAUGUGCAAUGUUUACAUGUUGGAAUCAAUAAUGUACUUAUCUAAUUUUUGUAGGUAGUUUAAUGUUUUUUNNNNNNNNNNNNNNNNNNNNNNNNNNNNNNNNNNNNNNNNNNNNNNNNNNNNNNNNNNNNNNNNNNNNNNNNNNNNNNNNNNNNNNNNNNNNNNNNNNNNNNNNNNNNNNNNNNNNNNNNNNNNNNNNNNNNNNNNNNNNNNNNNNNNNNNNNNNNNNNNNNNNNNNNNNNNNNNNNNNNNNNNNNNNNNNNNNNNNNNNNNNNNNNNNNNNNNNNNNNNNNNNNNNNNNNNNNNNNNNNNNNNNNNNNNNNNNNNNNNNNNNNNNNNNNNNNNNNNNNNNNNNUCUCAGUUUUGUAACCCAACGUUUGCUUGAUUACAUUACAAAGGUGAACUACAUAAGCACGUGUAGUCGUGAGCAGAAGUAGGAACACCAUGAGUGGGUGGCCUGUUUAUGCGCCGGCUUCCUCAUCCGGUGCGUCCAAAGCAUAAGGUCAUCGAGGAUUCGCUUCAAGGUGAAAAUGCUAUGGUGGUUCUGUUGCUUGAAGGUCAUAGCAUUUCUGGAGUCCCAUAUCUUCCAUAGGAUGAUGAGAAGUACGGAAUGCCAGAUUCUUGCAUCAACCUGGCAGGGGAGGUGGCAGUCCCACAGUUCAUGAAUGGAGGUGGGAGGUGAGAGUCCAAUCCGUUGCCAAAUUCGCUGAGCGAGUGGGCAAUCGAUGAAGAUGUGAGAGCUGGUCUCGCCGUCAAAACCGCAUCGUGGACAUAGAGAGUCUGCGACGAUGUGCUUGCGAAGGAGGUUGCAUUUGGAGUUGAGACGUCCACGGAACAGGAGCCAUGCAAAGAUCUUCACGCGGUUUGGGACGCAUGUAGACCAGAUGGCAACGGCGUGCAUGUCAUCUUCAUUUUCGCCCAUGGUCAGCUGGUAGGCGGCCCGCGUGGAGAAGCGGAGGCCACCGUUAAGGAAGCGCUGGUCCGGUCCUGGCGAUAUCUGGAAAUCCUGCAAGAGAGACAACAACGAACACAACUCAGAAGCGGCAUUAGUUGUUAGGCGGUUCCGUAGGAUUGAUUCUAAACCGAUAUUCAAAACCGCAGCCACACGAGUGAGAGGUGUGGUGGUAUGCGAAUAUAGGCAGGGAAAUAGAGUAGCAAGCGAUUGCUGGUGGAGCCAUGUGUCUAACCAAAAAUAGGUGUUGGUACCGGAGUUUGUGAUAACAAAGGAGAUGUCAUGUAGUGCUGGUAGUUGCUGGUUUAUGAUUCGGCAGAGGAAAGAGUGGCUGUUUUGUGGAGUGAUAAGGGCAUUUGGGUGUUGCAAGGUGAUCCAUUCGAGCCAAGGGUUUUGUUCUGGAAGCAAAGCUUUGACAGCAAAUUUCAUUAGAAGACAGUUAUUCUGAACAUGGAGAUUUUUUAGGCCCAAGCCGCCGAUCUUUUUUGGUUUACAAACAUUUUUCCAGGCAACUAAGCAUUGAGCACCGGUGCAUGUUUCCUCCGCAACCCAGAAGAAGGCUCGCCGGAUAGAGUCUAGAGUUUUUAGAACACUUUUAGGAAUGAGGAAGAUGGACAUAAAGUAUACCAGGAUGGAGUCGAGAACGGCAGACAGCAAAAUGAGCCUGUCUCGUUUGGAGAGAAGUUUGGCUCGCCAUCCUGUCAGGAAUUUUUGGCAUCGUUCAAUAAUGGGUAAAAAGGCGUUAGGCGGGAGACGGGUAGGAGCCAGGGGUAGACCUAGGUAGAUUUGUGGAAAGGUUGAUGUUGUGCAUUGUAGAGUGGCGGCAAUGGAGUCCGCAAGUCUGGGGCAUACAUGCAUAGGCACCAACGUUGUUUUUGUGAAGUUUAUCAUGAGGCCGGUGGCCAUGGCAAAGUUGUGAAGAAUGUUUUUUAGCUGCAGGGCCGCGUCGUUGGACGCUUUUGCGAUAAUAAGUGUGUCGUCCGCAUAUUGUAGGACUGUCGGUGGUAAAUGUGUGAAUAGGGGAUGUGUGAGGUGUAGGAGGUCGCGGUAUUGAUUGAUCAUCUAUUGAAGGAGGUCAGCAACAAUGAUGAAUAGAUAGGGUGAUAUGGGGUCUCCUUGUCUAAGAGUGUUAUUGCAGUUUAUCCAGUUCUCCGGAAUACCGUUUAGCAUGACGGCCGUUUUUCCAGAUAAGAGGAGAUCCUGGAUUCAGGCUGUAAAUUUUGGCGGGAAUCCAUGGCAGUGUAGGAUGGUGAGAAGUGAUGCCUAAGAGAGGGAGUUGAAGGCUUUGGAGAAGUCUAGUUUAAUGAUCAUGGUUGGGGCUUUUCGGGAAUGGCAGGCCCCGAUGAGGUCUGCGGCGAAGACGAAAUUUUCAGCGAUGCAACGUCCUGAAAUGAAACCAGUCUGGUUUCCAUGUACGAGUAACGGGACAAGCGGUUGGAGUCUGUUGGUGAGGAUUUUUGCGACCGCUUUGAUGGGGCAAUUUUGAAGAGAAAUCGGACGGUAAGCGUCAGGCGUAUUUGGGAGGUCUUUUUUUGGCAGCAAGAUUAGGUGAGCUCUAUUUAAGCAUUCAGUUUGGGCAGAGAGGUUUUGGAAAUCGGUCAUAAAGGAGAAGAUGUGUUUUUAACUAGAUUCCAGUAUUUUUUGUAGAACUGGGGGCCGAAGCCGUCUGGUCCAGGACUAGCGAGGGAGUUCAUUUGCAUAAAAGCCUCUUUGAUUUCACUGUCAUGUUUUCACUGUCAUGUUUUCAUUAUGAGAUGCUACUUCUAUAUUGAGCAUUAUUCAAUUGAAAACAUGACUAUUUUAACUUUGGUACUUGCUAUUAUGGAUUGGAGAAGAAUCUGCAUCAUUGGCGUUUUUCUUUUUCUCUUUAUAUUCUUUAUUGGGCCUGUUUUUCUUCAAUAUCUUUUUCGAUAAAGGAUGUUUUGUUACUUAAAAGGUUUUUCUUUACUAUCUAUUCUAGAAAAACAUCAUGCGAAAAAUACCAUAGAUGCUACGUGAAAUAUUGAUUUUGUGGAACCAAAUUGAUGCAAGCAUUAUUUCUUAAAUCGUGCUGGGACACUGAUUUUAUGCAAAGGUUGAAGGCCCCAUCUGGCACCAAUGGUUCAGAAAACUAUAUGAUGCCAAACAAGUGGACAAUUAUUCCCACUAGUAUGACAGGUUAGUCUCACCUUGAGGCUCCAUCCAUCCAGGGUCAUCAAAUAUGACGAGGCAUGGAACACUUCAGAAACAUCUAGAUCAGAGAUGACUGUCAUGCACUUUGGACAGGCUGCAGCAAGAGGCAAAGGCAUGACGAUAUCUGCUGCAUCCAGCUGUUGACGCGGGCAUGCUGUGGUGAAGAGUUAGGCCGGGGUGAAGACCUGCCGUCGCCGAGACGGAAAUAUCUUGUGUGUGGCUGGCCGCUGGUGAUAGCAAGUGGUGUGCCGUUCCAUGGACUGAAGCAGCUUGCGUGCUGAUGCUGCGGCCUUUGCUUUGCCCGUAGAUUUUCUUGCGAUCGCGAAAGCAAGGCGGACGAACGAUGCCACCACAUAUCUAUUUAUUCAUUGUCCGACGCCUUUUUGAUUACCCAGGGCAUCUUCAACGAAGAUCCUUAAACCACCUGCAACCCUUUAAACCAUACUGCGCUCCACUGGCUUCGUCGGCAUUGGCCGCAGCGGCGGUCCGCACCGAGUAGGAGGAAGUGUAGCGGCUUCUACGCGAGCGGCACACAAAUGGCCGAACAAGGCUGGCGCGGUGGACCGGUGCCCUGCCGGUGGUGGAGGGACAACGAUGAUGACAACGCCACGGACGGAGACGGUGGUUGGCUAAGCAAGGAGGUAACACGUACGAGGUGGUCGUGCGGUACGAGUUGUAGGUUUUUUUAGUGUUAUUAAGUAAAACGGCCGAAAUAUCAGUCGUUUAUGUAAAUUAUGAAUAAACUGAAAUGAAUUCCGUCGUGUUUGAUUAAAUUCCGUCUGAUUAUUUCAAAUAGUAAAAAAUAUGCGACUAGUUUUGGAUGGCCGGCUCCUACAUCAGUGUCCCUGAAAUGACCAUCCUAGUCUAUAAAUGGAUGCGAUGUCUAAAUUGCGAGUCAGCAUUGGAGAUGCCCUAGCUACCAACUACCAGGGGACUGAGAAUGGAAAAUCCUGUAUUACGCUCCUUGCGUGAAAGUGUCGGACCUAUACACUCGAGCUUCUCAGCACGAGAGUUUGGACCGACCCAAUAUACCACUGCGAGGCAGCCAGUUUCGGAUACCUUCUAGAAGGUUUUGUGAACCGAUUAUUUUGUUUCUUUUAACGGUUUUCCGACUUCUUUUGGGUUUUAUUCAUUUUCUCUUUUACCUUUUCUUUUUUGUUUUCUUUUUUACUCUUUUCUAUUUUUUUCUUGUUCUGUUUUUCUUUUCUUAUUUUCUUUUUAAAAAAUAAUUCAUGUUUCCAAAAACUGUUUUCAAUCUUGAAAAAGUCUUCAAAUAUUAUUCAUGAACCAAAAUUUUAAAUUUCCAAAAAUGCUCAUGCUUUUAAAAAAUUGUUCAAGUUUAUGGAUAAUGUUCCCGCUUUUCAUAUUUUGUUAAACUUUUAAAAGAAAACUGUCUUUUCAAAUUUUGUUCAUAUAUUUGAAAAAUGUUUGCACUUUGAAAAAUUGUUUAGAAGUUAAAAAUUCCUGAUUGUGGGUCAUAAACUAAAAAAAAA
Molecule: long non-coding RNA, 83545 nt
Filed under: Triticum aestivum (bread wheat)
Lineage: Eukaryota; Viridiplantae; Streptophyta; Magnoliopsida; Poales; Poaceae
Description: long non-coding RNA (TAES_LNC001352)
Rfam family: tRNA (bases 13805-13873)
Source: RNAcentral